RNAcentral lists this long non-coding RNA (58499 nucleotides) under Olea europaea (common olive). RNAcentral's name for it is "long non-coding RNA (OEUR_LNC006440)". The record is from RNAcentral. Lineage: Eukaryota; Viridiplantae; Streptophyta; Magnoliopsida; Lamiales; Oleaceae.
CAAAACAUAUCCAGGAAAUCUUUGCUUGGAGAUUAUUCAAACAUGGAAAACUUGGAAUUCGCAAUUGUGAUCCCCCCAUCAACAAAAAGGUUGUGUCCAUGAACACACUUCGACUCAUCGCUAGCCAAGAACAGAACAGCUUCAGCCACAUCCUCUGGCUUAAGUGAAACACCUUUGAGGAUAGAAUAUACAUUUCGGAAUUCCUCAUCAUCCAUUUUGUAGAAAUCCUUCGACUGUUGUGUAGGAACUACGUGUGGUGACACACAGUUUACGCGAAUGCCAUGUUUUCCAAGCUCCACAGCCAAAUUCUUUGUCAGUCCCACCACCCCAUGUUUUGAACUUACGUAAUUGUGUGAAGAACCACCGCCUAUUUUCGAGCAAGUACUCGCUGUUGUGAUUAUGUUCCCACUGCGAUUCGGGAUCAUUACUCGAGCAGCGUGUUUAGCACACAAGAACGGACCUACGAGGUUUACAUUAAUAAUCUUUUCGAACUCUGAUUUUUCGAUUUCAAGAAUGCUUGGAUUUGGUAUCCCCCCAAUACCAGCAUUAUUAUGCAGAAUGUCUAAUUUCCCAAAUUUGGCAACAGCUGUGUCAAUUGCAGUUUCUACAUCGGAUUCUUUAGUCACAUCACAGUGGACGAAAAUGGCUGAUAAUUUUCCCAGUUCCUUGCAUAAUUUCUCUCCCAAUUCAUCAUUGAUGUCUGCAACCAGAACUUUAGCACCAUGUUUGACGAACAGUCUGGCAGUCGCCUCGCCGAUUCCAGUAGCAGCACCGGUGAUUAAUGCUACCUUCCCUUCCAGCCUAGGUUCAUACGUUUUGUUAGUACAAUAUUCAUAGUCUACUGAAAACUCGUGUGAUAAUUGCCAGCCCAACUAUCAAAAUAACAUGCCUUGUACUUUGAGAAAGAAACCUCAAGAAUAAAUAGUUACAUUUUAAUUAUCAGAAUGCAGUGUCAUGAAAAAUCAAAGAGAAAUACCUUCCAAUCAAAGUUGAAGCCGUUGAUAAACUUCCCAUAGAGCUUCUUUGCUGUGAAUGUGAAUUGGUGUUUCUCUUCACUUUUAAACGUCUUUUAUAAUGCAAAUCGUGAAGAUAACAAAGAUGUUUACACACAAGUUGGCAUUUAUUUUUAAAUAAUCUGAUAUUCGAGAGAAUAUUCUCUCUUUCAUAGCCAUUUCCAACGCAAUUAAGCAUUUUUUUCUCACUAAAUUCCUGACUUUUGGAUAAUUGUUCUCUCUGUCCUCGUCAUAUCCAUCGCAAUUAGGCAUUUAAUUAUUCCUAACUAAUCUGAUUUUUCAGACUUCCACGUCAUUUCCAAAUCACGUAGGCACUUAUCUCUGACUAAUCUUAUUUUUCAGAUAAUUGUCAUCUAUCUCCACGUCAUUUCCAACGCAAGAUCUGAUUUUACAGAUAAUUAAUGUCUGUUUCCCAGUCAUUUCCAACGCAAUUGUGUCCAAAAUAAUUGAAUUAUUGCAAUACUUCGGGGUACUUUUUAAAAUAGCUUGGUCAAACAACAAAUUUUUCAUUUUGACCAUUUUUUUUUUUGUAUUCACCACAUUGGCCUAUUGUCAUUAAAAAGACAAUUCUACCCUUAUUCAUGUUUAAUAAUUACAAAAGUAUAUCAAUUGUUUAAAAGACAAUAAUACCCUUAAUAGUUUAAAUAAAUUCUAUUACUUCCAUACGUAAAUUUCAAAAUCAGUUUUGGUUAUCAGUUUCUCCAAUACAGUAAAAAAGAAUUUUUUCCUUCCAUCUGCUAAAAUAUUGAAAUCUCCCAAAAUUAUCAAAGGUUCAAAAAAGAAACAAUACUCACAGUCGGCACUGGAAAUUGGUAAGUGUAAAUACGUAUUUUGAAUUUUGUUUUAGUUAAAUUUACUGUUUGAAUCUGUAAAUAAUUAUUUUGAGAAAGGCAGAUGAAUUUUACAGUAUUUAAAUACAGAUUUAUAAUUUUUUUAUAGCAAAAACAACAAAAAAAUUCAUCUCUGUAUGCAUAUAUUUUACAGGAAAAAUUUAUAGGUGUCUGUAAAAUAAAUAUUUAAGCAUUAUUUCGUUGAAAAAGGGAAAAAAUAAAAAAUUCGAGCGUAAAUUUCAAAUGAAACGGACGAAAAAAGUUGGGCCAAAUGUUUCCAGCCGGCCCAGUUCUCUGGGCCACUGGAAAACAGCCGGCCCAGCUUUCUUUUUUUUUUCCUUCAGAUUUUAGAAUUUAUUUGUUCAUUAAUAUAUGUUUAUUGAAAUAAAUAUUAAUGAAUAUUUAAAUACUAAUUGAAAUAAAUAUUUUUGAAACAAUUAAAAUAAUCAAUGAAUUAUUUAAAGUAUUAAAUAAAAUUAAAUAUGAAAUGAACAAUUUAAAAAAUUAUAUAUUAAUUCCUUAUUUUUAAUUUGUGACAGAUAUGGCAUCAGCAUGUGUCCCAAUUUGUUACUUUGGUGAAUUUCAAAUGAAUGAAAAUGCUCAGUGGGAAUGGAAAUGGACGAGUGAAGGAGAUGGGGUUAAAGCAAUUUUUAUAACAAGGAGUACAUCGUUCGCAGAAAUGUACAGUGAUAUACAAAACAUGCUUAACGUCGAUCCCUCUUAGUACGAUAUGGAAUUGAGAUUUUUGUUCAUAAGCAUUCAACCAUUUCAAUUCCACCUAUGAAAGUUACUUCUGAAGUGGAAAUGAAACAUCUAAUUAAAUUGAACCAAGGCCGGAAGUCGACUCCUAUUUGCGUAACUUUAUUGGGGAAAAAUGUCCACGAGGGGGAACACGAAGUUUCAAAUGAAGAGAAUCGUAAUGUAAAUGAUGUUUGGGAUACAAUUCAGAUUGUUCGUGAAGAUGAUGUGGUUAUUCCCGAGACCACUGCUACUCACCAUGGUCACACUGUUACGCACAGAAUUCCAUCGAUAGUUGAAGACAACGAGAAUGAAAAUGCAUUUACAAACGAGGAUUUGAUUGCUUUAUCUCGUAGGAGACAUGAGUCGGGUGGGAGCUCACAGGCCGGACCGAGGACACGGUCCUCUAAUUGUUCGCGUGUAGUUCCUGAUGAUGAAGAUGUAUAUGUCGAGCAACUAUUCGAAUCAAAGAAAGAAUUGCAAGAAGCUGUGCACCGGAUUGCUUUAAAACAUAACUUCGAGUUUAAAGUGAAGAAAUCAAACAAGUCGUUAAACACAAUUAUCUGCGUUGACGACAGUUGUCAUUGGCGUUUGCGAGCGACUAAGAUGGAUAAGAAUGAGUUCUUUGUAGUCCGUAAGUAUGCACGGGAACAUACUUGUGAAGUGGGUAUUCGACGAAAUGAUCAUAGGCAGGCCCGAUCAUGGUUCAUUGGUCGAGAAAUAAUGCACAAGUUCCAGGAUCCACGAACGAUCUACAGACCUUCGGACAUCAUUAAUGAUGUUCGACGAGAGUACGGGGUGGUCAUGAGCUAUCAGAAGGCUUGGAAGGCUAAAGAAUGUGCAUUGGAGGAUUUGAUGGGUUCGGCUGAGGAGAGUUAUGCGAAAUUAGCCAGGUAUUUCAUUGUUUAAGUCUUUAUUUCUUUAUUAUAGUAAAUUUUAAGAGUACGGGGUGGUCAUGAGCUAUCAGAAGGCUUGGAAGGCUAAAGAAUGUGCAUUGGAGGAUUUGAUGGGUUCGGCUGAGGAGAGUUAUGCUAAAUUAGCCAGGUAUUUCAUUGUUUAAGUGUUUAUUUCUUUGUUAUUGUAAAUUUUAAUUAUUUAAUUUCAAUUGUUUGUUUAUAUGUAAUUAAUUAUUUAAUUGAAUUGUUUAUUUUUCUGUUCAUUUAAUAUUUAAUAUAUUAUCUAAAUUAUGAUUAUUUUUAUUUACAUUGGCCAGGUAUUGCUAUAACAUGGGAAGAAUUAAUACUGGGUCAGCAUUUUUUAUUGAGAAGGAUGACGAAAAUCGUUUCAAAUAUUUCUUUAUGACCCUUGGACAAUGUGUUCGAGGAUUUCGAAAUGCAAUGCGACCCCUAAUCUUAGUCGACGGUACAACCCUUAAGGCGAGAUACGGGGACAAGUUGAUUAUUGCAACAUGCCAAGAUGCGAACAUCCAAAUUUACCCUCUUGCGUUCGGCAUAGUCGACGGAGAAAAUGAUGUAGCAAUGAGUUGGUUUUUCACGAAGUUGAGGGAAGUAAUUGGAGAUGUCGAAAAUCUUGCAUUCGUAAUCGAUUGAGGGCAGUCAAUAAUAAAUGGUAUNNNNNNNNNNNNNNNNNNNNNNNNNNNNNNNNNNNNNNNNNNNNNNNNNNNNNNNNNNNNNNNNNNNNNNNNNNNNNNNNNNNNNNNNNNNNNNNNNNNNNNNNNNNNNNNNNNNNNNNNNNNNNNNNNNNNNNNNNNNNNNNNNNNNNNNNNNNNNNNNNNNNNNNNNNNNNNNNNNNNNNNNNNNNNNNNNNNNNNNNNNNNNNNNNNNNNNNNNNNNNNNNNNNNNNNNNNNNNNNNNNNNNNNNNNNNNNNNNNNNNNNNNNNNNNNNNNNNNNNNNNNNNNNNNNNNNNNNNNNNNNNNNNNNNNNNNNNNNNNNNNNNNNNNNNNNNNNNNNNNNNNNNNNNNNNNNNNNNNNNNNNNNNNNNNNNNNNNNNNNNNNNNNNNNNNNNNNNNNNNNNNNNNNNNNNNNNNNNNNNNNNNNNNNNNNNNNNNNNNNNNNNNNNNNNNNNNNNNNNNNNNNNNNNNNNNNNNNNNNNNNNNNNNNNNNNNNNNNNNNNNNNNNNNNNNNNNNNNNNNNNNNNNNNNNNNNNNNNNNNNNNNNNNNNNNNNNNNNNNNNNNNNNNNNNNNNNNNNNNNNNNNNNNNNNNNNNNNNNNNNNNNNNNNNNNNNNNNNNNNNNNNNNNNNNNNNNNNNNNNNNNNNNNNNNNNNNNNNNNNNNNNNNNNNNNNNNNNNNNNNNNNNNNNNNNNNNNNNNNNNNNNNNNNNNNNNNNNNNNNNNNNNNNNNNNNNNNNNNNNNNNNNNNNNNNNNNNNNNNNNNNNNNNNNNNNNNNNNNNNNNNNNNNNNNNNNNNNNNNNNNNNNNNNNNNNNNNNNNNNNNNNNNNNNNNNNNNNNNNNNNNNNNNNNNNNNNNNNNNNNNNNNNNNNNNNNNNNNNNNNNNNNNNNNNNNNNNNNNNNNNNNNNNNNNNNNNNNNNNNUACACAAUUAUCUGCGUUGACGACAGUUGUCAUUGGCGUUUGCGAGCGACUAAGAUGGACACGAAUGAGUUCUUUGUAGUUCGUAAGUAUGCACGGGAACAUACUUGCGAAGUGGGUAUUCGUCGAAAUGAUCAUAGGCAGGCCCGAUCAUGGUUUAUUGGUCGAGAAAUAAUGCACAAGUUCCAGGAUCCACGAACGAUCUACAGACCUUCGGACAUCAUUAAUGAUGUUCGACGUGAGUACGGGGUGGUCAUGAGCUAUCAGAAGGCUUGGAAGGCUAAAGAAUGUGCAUUGGAGGAUUUGAUGGGUUCGGCUGAGGAGAGUUAUGCUAAAUUAGCUAGAUAUUUCAUUGUUUAAGUGUUUAUUUCUUUGUUAUUUUUUAGCCAGGUAUUUCAUUGUUUAAGUGUUUAUUUCUUUGUUAUUGUAAAUUUUAAUUAUUUAAUUCCAAUUGUUUAUUUAUAUGUAAUUAAUUAUUUAAUUGAAUUGUUUAUUUUUCUGUUCAUUUAAUAUUUAAUAUAUUAUCUAAAUUAUGAUUAUUUUUAUUUACAUUGGCCAGGUAUUGCUAUAACAUGGGAAGAAUUAAUACUGGGUCGGCAUUUUUUAUUGAGAAGGAUGGCGAAAAUCGCUUCAAAUAUUUCUUUAUGGCCCUUGGACAAUGUGUUCGAGGAUUUCGAAAUACAAUGCGACCCCUAAUCUUAGUCGACGGUACAACCCUUAAGGCGAGAUACAGGGGUAAGUUGAUUAUUGCAACAUGCCAAGAUGCGAACAUCCAAAUUUACCCUCUUGCGUUCGGCAUAGUCGACGGAGAAAAUGAUGUAGCAAUGAGUUGGUUUUUCACGAAGUUGAGGGAAGUAAUUGGAGAUGUCGAAAAUCUUGCAUUCGUAAUCGAUUGAGGGCAGUCAAUAAUAAAUGGUAUCGCCGAAGUUUUCCCCGAGGCACAUCAUGGUUAUUGUAUGUACCAUAUACAGGGAAACUUGAAGACCAGGUAUCGAGACAAUGGCGUCGUUGCGUUGUUUAGGAGAGUUGCAGAGGCUUACAGUUUUGAAGAGUUUGAUAAGUUCAUGGUCGAAAUAGACAGUAAAUCGCAUGCUGCAUGGGAGUAUCUAACAGAGAUGGGGAUUGAACAUUGGGCACGAUCACAUUUUCCAGGACUUCGAUACAACAUGAUGACGUCGAACAAUGCGGAGUCGCUUAACGCUUUAUUCAAGAAAGAUCGAGAGUUACCAAUUCUUGCAAUGAUUGAGAACAUUCGUGACAAGUUACAACAGUGGUUUCAUGAUCGACGUGAGGAAUCACAGAGUUGUGCAAGUGUGCUAACCCCGGCUCAAGAAGAUAAGCUCUUCAAGACUCUAGAUGUGGCAAGAAAGGUAUAUGUAGAACCACUGGAUCAAUUUCGCUUCUCCGUGAGAUGUGCACGUAAUUUCGGAUACAUUGUGGACUUGAAUGAUAACACGUGCACGUGUAGACGGUUUUAGUUGGAGAGUUUUCCAUGUACACAUGCAGUGGCAGUGGCUAUGCAUAGAGGAUUACCACCACACACCUUAUGCAGUGUGUAUUACAUGACUGAUUAUUGGAGAGCAGCAUAUGCGGAAACAAUAUUUCCUGUACCAAAUGAAGUCGAGUGGGAAGUGCCCGACCACAUUCUCCCAUUAAAUAACUUGUUGCCACUAGCAGUUGGACCACGUACUCCUGGACGUACAUGUACGUCUAGAAUACCAUCUACCGGAAAGUUUUCCAAGCCUUGUAAGUGCGGUAGGUGCGGUGCAACAGGGCAUACUAGAAGAUAUUGUACAAGCCAGAUUCCUCUACAUGACAAUGUAACGGAUGUGUAAUUUUAAUAACUAUUGGCAAUGUAAUUAUUUAUAACAUUGACGUUAAUUAUUUAUGCAUAUUAUUUAUGCGAAUUAUUAGAUUUAGUAUUUUUUUCAAACAUUUCAUUCAUUACAUGCAUUUGUUAUGCAUAUUAUUUAUGUUAAUUAUUUGAAAUCGAAACUUUUUCUAGAAACUGCAUUAUACGGUAGGCUACUUUUUCUAGACACUGCAUUAUACGGUAGGCUAUAUUGUAAAAUAAAUAUUUAAAUAUUACAUACGCAAUCAACAUUUUACAAUUUUUUCGUAAUUACAAAUAAAUGAAUGAAUUGUACAAUGUUUAAAUAAAUGUAAAAAUAUGUACAAUUAUUUACGGAUCCCCAUUAAAUUCAAAUAAAUCACAUGCUAGUUUAUUUCUCCAAUUUUGUAUCCAUGCCUGGUUGAUUGCAUCAACCUUAUGUGCCACACUCAAAAAUUCUAUGUACUUGAUGACGAAUAUGCCGCAAUCACCUCUACAAUUAAACAAUGUUGUAUUAGCACAUCAAAAAUUAGUUAGAAACUAAGAUGUAAAUGACAGAAAGAAAAUUACAAACACUUACGAUAUUUGUUGCCUCGUCGUCGUCGUGUUCCGCACGGUGGCCAAUUUGUCUUGUACAGUAAUGUUCGCUCGUCUAGCCAUCAUGGGAACGAUCACAGACAGUGACUAUAGAUUUUGCUCGAGCUGGCCUUGUGUCAGGCAUGAAUGAUCGGGGUCGUACACAUACAUCGUGGAGUCGGCGAAUACGAUUUUCACUGCAAUGUAGUGAUGAUUCAGACAUACUGGUACGUACAUAUGCGUACAGCCAUCCCAUGGCUUCCCACCGACACUCGGCCACAUCCCUACAACCCAUUCCAUAAUAUAUUCCGGCACCGUGUACUCGCUACCCAUAGCCUGGAACGACUGGUACUCAAUGUCAACGGCACGGAUGAACUCGGUGUUCAAUAUGAGUCUGCCAGGAAUGUUGAACGAUUUUGGAUGUCUUUCAACACGAUCCCGUAGCAAAUCCAUGCUCAAGUCGAUGUGCUACAUCAAGAAACACCAAUAAAGAAAGGAGUUAAUCUAUGAAUUUCAUUCAAAAAAUUGAUUUUGAACGUACGUAAUAAAUAACAAUAUUUUCAUUUCACUUACAUCGUCGGCGAGCCAAGCCCCCGAAGUGGUGAUGUCGUGGAAUCACUUGUAAGCAUUUGAGAUCGUCUUCUCAGCAAUCGUGCGGUUGACCCUGAAAAAAUAAGAACAGAAUUUUUAGUUAUAUGAAGUAUACAUGUGUCAGCGUCUGCGUACUAUAGUAAUUACAUAAAAUACAAAACUGACCCAGGCUGCAGUGCUCUCCACUCUGUCUCAAAGGCUUUCCACUUGGCGUGGUCCACCUCCCUGAAUAAAUUCGGGUGCGUCCCGUCGACGAACCUUCUCCUCUUCGCUUCCGCGGUAAAGGGAGAAAGAACGUACUGUGAUGGCACCCUUGGCCUCUUGCCGACCACCCGCUCCUCAUGCGCCUCGGGAAUCUCCAUCUCCCCAGCCAUCGGGACGACCCCCUCGCCUGCUGUCGGGACCACCUCCUCCGACACAAAGACCACGACCGACGAGUCUGGCGUCUUCACCUCCGGUGCCCCCUCGACAUCCCCGGGUAUCCCGUGCACGGGUACCACCUCCAGCUCCAGUACCCUAUCCUUCUCCGGUACCCCCUCGGCAUCCCCGGGUAUCCCCUGCAUGGGUACCACCUCCACCUCCACCUCCCCCUCCCCCCCCACCUCCGAUCCCCCCUCGACGUCCUCGGGUAUCCCCUGCACGGGCACCCCCACCUCCGAUACCACCUCCACCUCCAUCUCCGAUACCCUCUCCUCCUCGGGCACCCCCUCCACGUCCUCAGGUAUAUCCUGCGCGGGCACCCCCUCCACCACAGGUAUCCUCUCUCGCUCCUCCAUCCCCAUCGUGUCAUCUAAAAAUGAAUCAAAUGCAGCAACUGAUGGCCACGAUGAGUCAACAUACCCCAUCUGACCCCCUCCCCCCUGAUAACCACCGACCCCUCCGUCACCCCCUCCGUCCCGAUAACCGCCAGUCCCUCCGUCUCGAUAGCAACCAGUCCCUCCGUCACCCCCUCCGUCCCGAUAGUGACCUGUCCCUCCGCUACCUCCUCCAUCUCGAUAAUCGCUCGUCCCACGCAGGCCUGCUAUGUCACCCCGUAUCGCUGCAACCUCAGCAUGGAGGUCUCCUAAUCCAGCUCGUAACAUCGCGACAUCAUAUCGUAACUGUGCCAUGUCCCCGAACUCAGCUCGUAGUGUCACGACAUUCUCCCGUAACUCUGCCAUGUCUCCUCUCAUCUCCAUCAGGAGGUCGAACAAAUCAAUCGUCGAAGCACGGGGACUAGGUGCAGGAGGCGAUACUGGACGACCCUCUUGAAAAAAUAACUAUUACAAAUGAAUAACCUAACAAAUAAAAUAAAACGACAAUCGAAGAAUUAUUUUUAAGUAACAUACUCUAUCUCGAUCAACGCUGGACUCAGGCAUCUGAACCUCUGGCGUAGCUGGACGUGAUCUUCUCAGCGGAGGUGACAUCCUCGCUGGACGUGCUCUCCUCGGUGGAGGUGAUAUCCUCAACGGAGGUAAUACUGAACGAUCCUCCUGAAAAAAUAAAUAUUACAAGUGAGGCACUUAGUUACAAGAUCGAAGCGAUAUUCAAUAAAUCCUGCACAGUGACAUACCCUAUCUCGAUCUAUCCCGGACUCAGGCAUCUGAUCGUCAUGUGUAGGACGAAGAGGCAAUUCGCGAAUAUAAAACUGACUCUCCUCCUCGAUCGACGGUGCCAACUCAGUGAGAACUUCAAGCUGUCAUUUUCAUAUGUCACAGUUAAUGACUAUGUAUUCAGAUUGUAAAAGGAUGUACAACAUAAAUAGCAAUUGUAUAAUACGUACCUCAGGAUCGUCGAGGAGAGCCGAUAACUGUCUGGCAAGCGGCUUAUCUUGUGCUCGCCAGUGAUGCAUCCGAGGAUAGCGUGUCUCUCCUCUCCUCGCAUACCGACUGGCCAAGAUAGGGACAGUCUCGUACACCCAUAUCUGAAACAAUUAAGAUUAUUAUGUAUAGAAUUCAAUAAAAAAAGUGUAGGUAAUUCAUUAACUUAAACAUAUACCUACAGCGCCAACGGCAGUCCAUAUGCAUCGUACUUGCGCUCGGGCUUAUCCCCCUUUGGCAUUGAAAACCCCCUCCUAAACACGCGUAAUGUAUCAAGAAAACAUCUCCAACCCCCUGGGUAGUUGUUGAAGGCAUCAAUAUCUUCAACAACCUCCAAAUGAAAAAUGUCAAUCGAUGUCUUCUUGUGAUGACACCGGAGUAUGCUCUCGAUGAUAAGCACCAAUCCUAACUUCAACCUAUCAGACAUCCGAUCACAUCUCCUUAAUGCAUCUCCUAGCUGCGCUAGAGUAACCGUCGUCUGUCCAUGAAAAUAUUCGUUCAACAGCCUCCUGUUCCUCGGAACACAGGCCCUCGCCUCUGCAUCAUCCGUACAUCGCAGUCCAGUGACGAGAACAAACUCAAAUAUAGAGAACGUGGCUACCUUGUCCCCAAGAUCAAAAUGGAGGGCGUCUCCGUCAACUGGAUUCAGCAAGCGACAUAAUAGGGCAUCCAGCAGCUGCCCAGACCACUGUACGUCACGCAACGAAUACAAUGGCCAUAAGCAUGAUCGACGUAAUAUAUCUACGUGAUCGUCGUCCAGCAAAUCCAAUACCAAAGCGAAGCUGGUAAAGUUACAAUUCGAGGUAACUUUACCAGGGAUCUGUCUGACAGCGUCGUCCAGAUGAUAUUCCAUCGUCGUCCAAAUGAUAUUCCAUCCUAGAAAAUUUUAAAUAUUAGGAUCCUAUGCAAAUAACGUUCGAUAAACAAAAAUAUUAAAAAAAUAUACUAACACACUGCUACUAGAUGCAAUAACCAACCGAUAACGGAAUAAACAAAAUGAACGUAAAUUACUAUUUUCCAUAUACUUAAUUUGCUAAUUUGAUCGUUUAUUUUAAUAUUUUAAUUGCUUAUUUUAAUUAUUUAUCUAACACUAAAUUAACUUUUUCAUUUUUAAUUAAUGUUUAGACACUUAUUUUAAUUCUUUACGCAUAUCGCUUAUUUCAUAUUUACAAAUUUAUUUCAUAUUUCUUUUAAUAAUUUUAAUAACACUUAUUUUGAUCGUUUAUUUUAAUAUUUUAAUUAUUUUUCUAACACUUAAUAUACCUUUUCAUUUUUUAUGAAUGUUUAAAUAUAUAUAUCUUAUUUAAUAUUUCAUUUUUUAAAAUUAAUUUAGUAACACUUGUUUUUAAAUGCUUAUUUUAAUAUUUUAAUUAUUUUUCUAACACUUAAUUUAGUUUUUCAUUUUUUAUGAAUGUUUAAAUGCUUAUUUUAAUUAUUUACGCAUAAUGCUUAUUUCAUAUUUACAAAUUUAUUUUAAUUGCUUUGCAAAAAAAUAAUUUGAUUGAUAUUUUAAUUUUCAAAAUUUAAUUGCGUAUUCCUUUUUUUUUUUACAAAUGUUUNNNNNNNNNNNNNNNNNNNNNNNNNNNNNNNNNNNNNNNNNNNNNNNNNNNNNNNNNNNNNNNNNNNNNNNNNNNNNNNNNNNNNNNNNNNNNNNNNNNNNNNNNNNNNNNUUUUUUUUCUAACAGUUAAUUUAGUUAUUUAUUUUUAAUGAAGUUUUAAAACUUAUUUUAAUUAUUUACAAAUGUUUAAUUAUGUAUUUAAAUUCUUUAUAUAUAUCUUAUUUAAUAUUUCUUUUUUUAAAAUUAAUUUAGUAACACUUGAUUUUAAAUGCUUAUUUUAAUAUUUUAAUUAUUUUUCUAACACUUAAUUUAGUUUUUUAAUUUUAAUGAAUGUUUAAAUACUAAUUUUAAUGUUUAAAUAUUAAUUUUAAUUCUUUACGCAUAAUGCUUAUUUCAUAUUUACAAAUUUAUUUUAAUUGCUUUUCAAAAAAUAAAUUUUUUUGCUAAUUUACUUUUCAAAUUUAAUUGCUUAUUUUUAUUAUUUUACAAAUGUUUAAAUAUUUUUUUCAAUUCUUUAGAUAUAUUAAUUAUUUAAUAUUAUAUUAUUUCUUUUCAUUUUUUUACUAUUACUUAAUAUAAAAUAAUUAAUUAAUCUAAAUUAGCAACUAAUAAAUAAUUCGAUAAAUAAUAUAACAUUUAAAUCUUAUAUUUACUAAUAAUUUUAAAUACAUAAUAAACAUUCAAAUUAAGCAAUUCAAAUAAAUAAUUACACAAUAUAAGCCAUUAACAAUUAUUUAAUUAACUUCAAUAAUUAUCGGAAAAAAAAAAAAGAAAAAAAAACAGACGGCCCAGUCAACUGGGUCAACUGGGCCGACCGGCCCAGCUUCCCAGUUGACUGGGCGCCCAGGUGCCCAGUUGGGCACAGGCGCCCAGUCAACUGGGUUGCCCAGUUGACUGGGAAGGGGCGCCCAGACGGCGUGCCCAGUCACCAUUUUCGUCCGUCUGCUGUCCGGUCGAGGAGAUCGCCGAAAAACUCCAUUUUCGGCGAUCUCCACUCUUUCCCAAGUAAUAACAACUCAAAAUUCCACAUUUACACAAGUAUUUCUCAACAAAUAUGUAUAAAAUCAUACUUUUUUCCAAAAAUAAAAAUAUAAACAUGGUUUUUUUUGGUAUACAUUUCUUACCUUCUUCAGAGGGAUUUUGGCCAAGUGGGUCUCCUGUUUUUCCUUAUUUGUCGGUGACUGGGUCGACUGUGCUACAGUAUUUUCCCGUCUCCUUCGGCUUCUGCUUCAUUUUCAAGUGAGGGUAAAAUUGGAAUUCUCUUCAUUUUUUUUGGUUUUCACGGUUUUUUAUAAUUUUGCCUUUUUUUUUUCAUUGGUCAAAGGCCAGUUCGGAAAAUUGGCCGGGUCAACCGGCCAACAGCCACUAAUUCCUCCAAUACUUCAAAGAAUGAUAGCACACUAAUUGACUUUAUUUUGUUUGGUCUAAAUAUUUAAAUAUUGUAGAAGAUUAAAAGACAUUAAAGGGAAAAGUACGUAAAUAUAAUAUUUUGAACGACAAUGCUACAUUUACCUACAUAUUUUUACCAAAUCUUUUAUCUACCCUCACAAUAGGAGGACGGGUCCCACAAGCCAAAAUUUUUAAUUGUACGCGGGUCCCGCGCGCAUUUGAGAAGAUUAAAAGACAUUAAAGGGAAAAAUACGUAAAUAUAAUACUUUAAGAAUACAUUUUCACAUUUAACAAAUUCAUUAAAUAGUUUUAUAAAUGAGGUGCUAAAUUAUAUUAUUAUAAAUAUUAUUCUAAUUGAAAUUUAGAUAAUCUAUAGUUUAAAUUAGAAUAAUUUGAUAAACAUUAUCAAAUCGUAAUAUGUUGCGUAUAUUCUCUAGUCCUAUUUGUGUAGGCUAACUUUCUUUAUUUUCUUGUCCUAAUUAUCUAGUCUUUUUUUUUAUUGAAAAUGUUUUUUCUUUUUCAAUAAUUUUAAAUAAGAUUAUUUAAUUCGUGUGAAAAAGAAAACCAAACUAUAUAAAUAGAAGGGAUGGAAGUAUAUCGUUAAUAUAUGACAGAUCCUCUCAAACCUCAUUCUCUCUCUCUUCGCAUAUUCUCCCUCUUACAACAAAUAACUUGUGACCCACCAAAAAAAUCUUUUACGCCUAGCACUUUUUUAUUCUCUAUGUUGCCUCAUGAUUUUUUGAAUAAAUGCUAUUUGUACAUAAUGGAGUUAAAUAAUGAUUUACAUAUAGAUAAUGUGUAAAUAAGAGAGUGGAGAAUUUUAUUUUUUUUCCGAUUAUGUUAUAUGUACAUAAUAAUUUACGUAAACAUGAUGUGGUGAGAUAAGAUUGGAUUAGAAUUUCUUCAACAACAAAAAAAAAAUAUUUUACUCUCUUUUUGACUCACAAAAAGAAUAAAUAAAUAAAUAAAAACUUUUUACUCUCUUUUUUAAUAAUAUUAAGAUAAUAUUUAACACCAGAUAUAUGAAAACAUAAGUUUAAGAUCUGAUUUUUGAAAGGUAUAGAUAAAAUGUAGGGAUUUGCUUAGUUUUCCAAAAAAUAUUCGUACAAGUUAAGUCAAGUUAUUAUAAUUCAAAAUAAUAUAUUUAAAGAAUAUUACUUAAUAAUUUAAGUUUUAAGAUAAUUAGCAUAAGAUAAUAAUUGUUAUAUUACAAACUAUUAGGUUUAUCUUCAAUAUGUGAUUAAUCAUAUCUUAAUUGUAUUAUGUUGGUUAACCCAUUCUGUUUUCUUGGCCUUCUACCCCAUUUUCUUUUCGUUCCUUCGAAGUAGUUCCAGUUUAUACUCUUUUUGCUCAAUGAGUAGGGCUGUCAAUGGGAUUUUGAUCCGAAUUUGAUAAAAUUAAUGGGAGAUGGAUUUAGGAUCUCGGUCUGAUAAUCCGAUUAAGAUCCGAAUCCGAUAAUCCGUGAACUAAAUGGAGCAAAUAUAGAUAUAGGUUGAUAUGAUCCAAUAACAAUCCGAUCCGAUUUAUUAUAAUAAUAUAAUAUAUUUCAUAUAUUAUAUCAUAAUCUAGUAAGCAUAAUUUUUUCCAUUUUGAAACUUAUAUUAUGAUUUACACAUAAUUUUCAAAUAAUAAUAAUAUUAGAUAAUAGUAUAAUAUUGUUAAUUGAAAUAUUCAGAAAGAUUUAAUUUUUUUAUUAAUUAAAAUAAGAUAAAAAUAACUAUAGUAAUUUAUUUUAUAACAUCAAAAACAAAUAAUUAUUAUGUCCAAAAAUAAUUUACAUUGUCUAAAUUGAUAUUAUUUGUGAUUAUAAUCUUGUUGAGGCUACGAUUUUUAAUGAAAAUAAUAAAAUAAACUAGUAACACUUAGAAUUGACAAUUGACUAAUAUCCCACAUUGAAAGAUUACUAAAAUAUUGGAAGAGGAGUAUCAUUUAAAAAGUUAGUAUCCCCCAUUGGAGGAUUACUAAAACAUCUCAAGAGGAGUCUCCUUUUAAAAGGAACUAAAUGAGCAUCAUUUGGAUAAAAAAUUGAUUUGGGUCUUCUAAUAUAAUAGGUGAGCCCAUCAAGAUAGUUAAAAUAUUUUUUGGGAGAAAAAUCAUACUACCCAAAAAAUUGGUGGAAAAAAUAAUUUUUUUCGAAUUUGGAUCGGAUUAUCGGAUCGGAUAUCCGAUAACAUAACAAAUUGGAUAUGGAUUUAACAAUUAAUUAUCCGUUGGAUUAUCAAAUCGGAUAGGAUAGGAUAAUUUUUUUCGAAUUUGGAUCGGAUUAUCGGAUCGGAUAUCCGAUAACAUAACAAAUUGGAUAUGGAUUUAACAAUUAAUUAUCCGUUGGAUUAUCAAAUCGGAUAGGAUAGGAUAAUUUUUCUUAACGUAUCGGAUUGAAUUUGGGCAGAUCCGAUCCAUUUACGGCUCCAUUAAUAACUCGUAUUUAAUACCUCUAAAAAUUAAGUCUAAUGGUGCCGUGCUUGGCGAAGCUAAAAGAUCCACGAGCCAUCAGCUUCUUUCUACGUCGACAAUGUAUGGAAAAUAAGCAUCGGCUAUUCGACUAUUCAUAGCACAAUUCAUACAGCAAUUCAUGACUCAUGGCAACUUAUCAAGAAAAUGAAUACAAAAUUGAUGUUUACAACCUGUUUUGGCAACAAAAUUGGGAUAUUACAGGAUCAAGUAAUUCAAAAAAUUUUACAUUAUCAACUUUCUUUCCAAUCCAAUCAGCAACAAUAUGCGUAAGUGCUACAGUAGGAGGAAAUCUAAUUGGAGAAGCAGCCUUGUGGGCAGCAUAGGCCAAUGCAAAAGUCCCAACCUUUCUCCAGUUCCAUUAGUAGAAGUCCCAAUCUGUAAUACACAAAAACCAUGCCCAUUCAGGUCCAUUGGACUGUAUUCUUUCAUUAAGUUAUGCUAGAAAAGCAACAAGUUGUGCAGUACCUUUUGAAGCAAAGUUAUCUUCACCAGCUGAAAUUAGAACACAACAUAGCCCAAAAGAUAUCAAGGAGAGAGUAGGGGUGAAUGCGGUUCGAUUUCGACGGUUUGUGUCAUAUUUUCAAUUCAAACCAUUCAUGCGGUUUGGAAACCAAACCAAACCAUUUUAUUUUUCGAACCAAACCAUAAUUUGUGGUUUGGUUCGAUUUUAAUCUACGGUUUACCUAUCGACAUUAUAGUAAUAUAUUCAAAACAAGUUAACCUAUAAGCUUAAACGAUAAUGUUAAGGCCUCGUUUGGUACUCAUUUUUUUCAAAAUACAUUUUUCUCUCUCUUCUUUUCAACUAUACAUUUUUUUAUUAAAAUAAUAUUACACAUAAAUAAAUAAAAAUUCCUUAUUUUUCAACUACACAUUUUUCAUCAAUUUACUAUUCCAAAAUGCAUCUUUACAUAAAAAUAGCUUCCAGACACCCUCUAAAUGUUAAAUUACAUUCAUAUUUACUAUAAAACAUAUGAAUAAACUAUUUUCAAAUUUGGUUGCUAAAAGAUAUUAAUAGAAGAAAUAUAUUUUUCUUCAUUUUUAUUUACCUUUUCUUGUUUAAUUUUCACAUUGUCACAUAGCGGGUGGUAAAAGUAAAGUCACAUUCUACUAUUAUAGUUUAGUUAAAACUUAUUUCGUCUUGCUAAUGAAAUUAAAUAAGGAUUGAACAUGAUAUGUGUAGAUAUACAAAGAUUGAUAAAGUUUAUGCUUAUUGCGGAUUGACGAAUUUCAUUCUCUAGCUACUUAAUGAAAGUAGAAAGUAGUACUAAUAGUUAGGAAAAUUUAACAUUUUCACAUAAUCAAUACACUAUGUCCUUCGUUCUUUCCAAACCACAAAAUAUUCAUCAAUCAUUUAAGCACACAAAUAUUCAUUUUUCUAUCCAAAUCACAACUCACAAGUGUGCAAUAAGUUUUAAAACAACAAAUAAAAGAAAGAAUAAUGGGAAAAUAGUUUGAAUAAGAAUCUAAGACUUAUCGAGAAAAAAGAGAAAAAGAGGCGAUUCAGAUAAAAAUUAGCAGACUAACAUGCAAAAGGCGACAAGUGAUUUGCUCAGCAGUGGUAGACAAGCGUCAGAUGUUUGGGAAAAGAGAAUUUAUGUUAGGAUUUCUGAAACUUUGAACGUGAUUUUUUUCCAUAAUUUUGUUGAGUUAUGAUUUGGAUUGUCGAAAGUAUAUAUAUUUUUUCAUUUCAUAUGAUUUGAGAAUAAUUUUAGUUUAGUUUAGAUAUCGCGUAAGAAUAUGUGUUGUGAACUUGUUAAUCCAUAGGCCAAUAAUGAUGAAUCUAAUUUACAUUUUAUGAUUAUUUGAAUGAGCUGGUUGUAAUUUAUAUUGCUAAAUUGAUUUUUUUUUUAAAGUGAAAACUGUAAAAUUUAUAAGUUAAUAAAAUUAAUCUUUUAAUUAAAAAAAUUUAAAAACGAUUCGAUUUGAUUUUAUGUGGUUUUGAAAAUCUAAACCUAAACCUAAACCAUACCAUUUUAAAAUGGUUUGACUCGAUUUGAGGGAAAAAACCACAGAUCCACGUGGACCCGAACCAACGGAUUAGAUUCGAUUUGCGAUUUUUUGUGCAGCCUUAGGAGAGAAAAAUGGAAGUGGCUAAAUAUGAUCCCCCAUAUUUUCCUAGAAGCUCCUUAGCUUGGUCUCCCUUUGACUUAUUUUCUUGCUUUUCUUUAUUACCUUUCUCUUUUGAGUAGGAGUGGGCGUGGUCCGAUUCGGUCUGAUUCCAAAGGGAAUCGAACUAAACCGAAUAUCAAUGAGAAUUUUAGAAAUGGAAUUGGUCCCAUUUGGUUCAGUCCGAUUCUUUACAUUGAAAAUGUCAAAAUAAAUUGUUCAUUAAUAAAAAAUCUAAAAAUGCUGCAAACGUGAUACUUAUAACAAAAUAUAGAAGAACUGAACAUAUUAUUUAAAGAUUAAAAAAAAACUUAGUAUGCAAAUUUAAAAACAAUAUCCAAAUAAUAUAAGUUACUAGUAUCAAGCAAUCAUCAGCUUAUAUAAACUGCAUAGUAUUUCAAUGAUUAAACAAACUUUCAUCAAAAUCAAAAUACAUUGAAUUGGACACCCUUUAAAAAUUUAUUGCAACUUCUGGUUCUUUUGAUUAUAAUUUGUAGAAAUCUAGAUGAAAAUUUUCAAUCGGAUCAACAACUAUGUAAUCAAAGUGAAAACAAAAUAAAAAUUUCACAUCUUAGAAAUGAAAUUAUAUAUUUUAAAUAAAUUUAUUUAGGUAUAGAUUUAUCCAAUAUUCUAAUUUGGUUUGAGAAUUAAUUAAUCAAAUAAUUAUAAGAAGAGAGAAUGAAAGAAUCAAAGAGAAGGAAAGUGCUCGAGUCUAAAAUGAAGAAGGAACCCGAUUAUUUUUAAUAAAAGUAAUUGGAGAUUGAAUCAUAUAUUUUAUAAAAAAAAUCAAAAAUCCUAUUAGAAUCGUUCGGUUCCCGAUGGUACCCAUACUAGAACUGGGAACCAGAUCGGAAUUAAUUGGUUCUUAAUAAUUGGUCCCAAAAUUAAAUCGAUGUUUACAAGAUUUGGAACCGAACCUGCCGGUUCUAAGCGGUUCCAAUCUGGUUCCACCGAUUCUAGGAAAAAAUCCCCAUUCUUACUUUUGAGGAGAAUAUCUGCAUAUAGCUUAGAAAAGGAAUUAUAUUAGGUGCAUAAAGAUUUCGGAAACACAACAACAACAACAAAACCUAUAUUAUACCGCCUCAUCUAAACACUUAAACCUUUAAACAACAAUUUUCAUAAAAUGGAUGGCAACUAGAGUAGGUGUCACGCACUGAGAGUGCUCAUCUUCACAUAUGGCACCACAAGAUCACUAGCAGCUAGACUUUUGGCCUAUAUUACCAAAAACUAUAAUAAUGAUGUCAUCUUAUACAGGCAUUGUCUAGCAUACUAUGCAAUGUGUGCUGGUUGUUUCGGUCUUUCUAGGCCAAGAAUGAGGAGAAAAUUCUCGAGGUCUCGGACCUAGUGGGCCAUACUUUUGGUCCGUGAUAUUGGGUCUCAAGUAUUUGUCUUUUUUAUACUAUUAUGUUGAAUUUCUCAUCUAAAAAUUCUAGAGAAAAAGACAUUUAUUUAUAUUUCCAACAACAAAUCUAAAAUAUAAUGAAUCAAGAAAUCUUUUUGACUUGGAUGAAUUCUGAUUAUUGAAACCCAUAAAAUGUAGUAUAAUUAAGAGAACAUUGUAAAGAAAAGGGAUGGUUCAAAAUAUUAUCUUCCAAAGACCAGCUUCAAGUCCAUACUUCUGUGCAAUUUCCUCUGCAGAAGACUUAUUCUUGAUUUGCUAUAUUUUUUUCCUUCAUAGCUCUGACCCUGAACCUGUUGAAACUAGACUUGGAAUUGGAAAUCGAGGCAUCAAACCUGCUUAAUUUUCCAUUAUCGAGCAAAAUUGAAGAAAAAAUAGGCUUAUUGUUCAAGUGUUGAGAAGGGAGUUGCAGAAGUGUGGCCAUUGCUUAAUAACCACAAAGAAAGACAGAGUAUAUUUGAUAUUUCGGAGGAGAUCUACUAUAAGAACAGGGUCAAUGAUAGGGUUUUAUACAGAUAUACACUUAAGGAUGGCAAGUUGGCACAUUGGUUUGGACCAUCAGUGGCUCGGCUAAAAAAAAGCUCAAGCCGGCUCGUUAAAAAAAAAAAAAAAAAAAAAAAAGAGGCAGUAAAGCUGCCUUUCAAAAAAAAGGGAAAAAAAAAAGCCAAAAAAACCAAAGAAAAAAAAUCAAGCUGGCUUGGCUCGGUAAGCUCGGGUCAAGCCUCAAUUUUUUUACUAAGCUUUUGCUGGGCUUGGUUUGGGCCAAAAAAAGCCCGUCUUGAUUUUACUCGAGGCAAGCCCAAACCUUGAGUUUCGACUUAGGAGCCGACUCGGUUCGUUGACAUCCCUAUAUGCACUUCACAAAAUUUCAUUGGCAGUUACAAAAAAAUAAAAGAAAAACUACCAAUCAAAAAUUACUAUUUCAACACAUGAAAAUAGCUGUCAAUCUACCAUUGAACCUGUGCAACUAGUUUAAUCCAUUUGGGGGCCGUGGAGGGGUUUGAGAAUAAAAUUCUAGAUGGAAAGAGUGACGAGUAACCCAAUUUCUGUUUUCUUUCCAAGGCACAAUUUACAUUUAUCUUAAAACCCUCAAACAUUUGUUAUUCUUAGAAAAUCACCCUAAACAUCUUUAUUGGGGAAUUUGGCACAAAUGUUCCCAACUUUAGCCUUUAGUGUGCAAAUGGUCCCUAACAAUAUUUCUUGGCUUGAACAUCUCUAUCUCCAACUUAUAUCUCGAUGUGAAAUUGAUCAUUUUUUCAAUAAGAAAAAGAUCAAUAUCUCCUUUAUUUUAAAUAGAAAAAAAUUGUAGCUAGGUCCCUAGCCAUUGGAAAAAAAUACAAAGCCCCAAAUCUUUUAUUUAAUAAUAUUGAUUUCAUACUAAAUAUAAUAAUAUUGAUUUCAUACUAAACAUAUCAUUAUAGUUUUCCCAAUUAAAUUUUCCGAAAAUAAAGAAAAUGGUUAAAUUAUAUGUUAUGAAAAUCUUGAAUAAAAACUAAGAUAAAUAAAAAACAAAAUGACUUAGAUAAUUUUAGGACAUUCAACCAAUAUCAUUGAUAAUUGUAUACGAACCAAUACUGGUGGAAUAACAUUCAACUUGUAAGUCAUGUAUGUAUGUGUGUGUGUGUGUGUGUCUAUAUAUAUUUAAAUUCGACACUUAUUUUGGCUCUUUACAAGGCUUUUAUUAAUGUUUUGAAUUCGAUUCUAUUGAUUUUUUUUCUAUAAAAUGAACCCCGAACUUUUAAUGACAUCGUUAGUGAAAUUGAUGAAAGAGAUCAGAAAAGCAAGUUCACAUGACAUUGCAACAAAAAGGGAAAAAGAAAAAGAAGUCAACUGGAAUUGAAUAUGCGAAAAUACUUGGAGAAAUUAGAGUACCAAGCUUGGUUAGGAGUCCAACGCAUUCAAAAUUAUGUACCAUGAAUUAUUUUCAUUUUCUUCUAGACUGCCACCCUAGGCACAAUCUUGCACUUGAACGAAUUCCCUAUUUUCAACCCUAAGAAUUCUAUCUAUGAUGGAAGUCUUAGGGUCUUCUAGGUCAUUUCACUACACCAAAAAAGGAUUUUUGCAGCGGCCAAAAAACACUACAAAAAGUCAUUUGCAGCGUUUUAGCGUAUGUUGCAGAGGGUGAUGUUGCCAUUGAGGAAGAGUUUUUGCAGCAUUUGCCAAACGCUGCAAAUGUGUAUCUAUUGUAGCGUUUGACAAAUAAUAAACUAACAAACAUGUUCUUUGAUCCAACAAGUUAAAAAAUAAACUAAUAAACAUGUACUCAUUAAAUUUGUAAAAUAUUCAACACAUUCUUUUUUCCAAAAUAAAAUUAAGAGUCUCCAAACAUGUACCACCAAAAUAUAAUUAGGAAACUACAAAAACCGAAACUUGAACUUGAAAUCUUCGGAUGUUCCUUGAUAAACACAAUUGCCAUUGGAAAAAUUUCAAUCCAACGAGCCUUGCAUCAAUUGAGACUUCAAAAAUGAAUGUUGGGGAAAGAUCGGCCUGUGAAAUCAAAGAGUCCCGUAGGUGUAUUUUUAGCCAACAACGACUGAAUAACAAAUAAACAUUCAAAUAGUAAAACUUCCCGUUUUCAUUUACAAGGGUUGGGUUAUAUAAAGAUGAUGCCAUCAAAUUUUGUACCAUGAAACCUUUUUAUGACAUACUUAAUUGUGACAAAUGCAAGACAAUCACAAAGGCAUUCCAAACUUAGCACAAAAUCAUAUUGCCCACACAUUAACAAAUUACCCACUACAAGAAUUCUAGCCUUAGCAUGAAAUCAUGUUUCGACCAUUCAAUAACAAAAAACUUACUGAAUGAAACCUAAGAAUUAAGUCAAGUAACCUAUUAAUCUAUAUUGCCAAAAUAUCACUAGCUAACCCACCAGUUUACAUGAAGCCAUUUCAUACGCCCCUCUUUUGGUGAGAUUUUUCUGCAUCUUUAGUGUGAAAUCGAAGACCAUUUAUGACAAAACUAGAAUAUGAUAUGGAUUGACAUCUAGGACCACAUGCAAGCCAAUCCAAUAUGGUAGAUUGAAAAAUAUUGACCUCUUCUUCCACGUUACAUUAGAUUGAGCUAUAUUCGUCUUCUCUUUCGUUUAUCACUUUUUUCCAAGUCAUUUGUAAUUUUAUCAACUUCAAUAAAAUCAUCUUCACAGUUUUUUAUCUUUGGCCUAAUACCAUGUUCAAUAUAUCUAUUAAAUCAGCUCUUUUUCAUGCGAAAUGGAUGAUCAAAAGCGAGAAAUUUUCUAUGUCCUAUGUAUACAAACUUCCUACCAUGCUUCAACCAUACUGGACAUGUAUUCUCACGAUAGAUAGGGCAUGCAAUUUUUUCUUUUGACGGGCCAUCUAGAUAUAUUUCCAAAUGCGGGAAAAUUAUGUAUAGUAUACAUCAAAAAGGCUUUUAAGUUGAAUGUGGACUUUGUAAUAGCAUCAUACAUAUCAACCCCAUCACUCUAUAACAACAUUAAGUCGUCUACAAGUGGUGACAAAUAAACAUCUAUGUCAUUACUUGGCUAUUUCGAUCCCAGGAUCAAUAAACUCAACAUCAAACUUUCCUUUUACAUGUAAAUUGAGGGAGCAAGUUAUAUAUAGUUAAGAUUACUGACCAAUAACUGUAUUUAGAGUUAAGAUCUUUGAAAUGAUUAAAUCUAUCAGUAGCAAGACCUAAUCUAAUAUUUCAAGGAUUAGAUGCAAAAUGGGGGCACCUUCGAUUAAUCAUUUCCCAACUCAAUGAAUCAACCGGAUAUCUAAUCUUACCGUCUGAACUUUUAUUAUUUGAGUGCCAUUUAAAUUGUGUUGACAUCUCAUUUAUUCCAAACAUCCUCUUAAAUCUUGGUAUUAUAGGAAAAUAAUGCAAGACUUUUGCUGGGAUAUUUUUCUCAUUUUUUUGUCUGUUGGUUAUUUUUCCAUCUCGAGCAACCACAUUUUGACAUAAUUCAGUAUGCUCAAGCUCCUUUCUAUAUAGACAACAAUCAUUUAGGCAAGCAUCUAUCUUUUCGUAGCCAAGAUCAAAUGUAUUGACAAGUUUUUCAUCUCGUAAAAUGAGCUUGAAAGUGUAUUAUUCUCUGGCAACAUGUCUCAAACAAGAUUUAUAAGUUUAUCAAAACCAUUAUUUGAUAAACCAUGUGAAGCUUUAUGCUUAAACAUUGCAAUUGAAUCUGACAUCUUUGUAAAUGCCCUGCAACCAGGAUAUAAAGGAGUUUCAGCAUCAUCAACUAAACUUUCAAUCUCUUCGUCUCUUCCAUCAGGACGAUUUUCAGAAUUUACAUCAUGCUGUGUAUAGAAAUCCUUAAACAUACUACUCGACUUAGGCAUUUCUACAACAUUCUGAUUUGAUGCAUCUGGUUGCUCUCCAUGAAAUAUCCAAGUAGUAUAUGUAAGAUCCAUACCUUUAAUAACCAAAUGUUCAUAGACUAUAUCAUAAUGAUGAUGCAAUAGAUUUCUACUCUUAACACAAAGACGUACUUUCAUUUCUGAAUUGCAAUUUCUCAUUCAACAAAAUUCUGUGCUCCAUCGCUAUAUUGUCUUGAAAAUCUACGAGUAAAUUUUUAUGAUCAUUAUACAUUGAAAUUAUUUUCACUUGGAAACUAGAUUCAUAAGAUCUAAUUUCAGAUGAUAAAUUUGAUAAGUGCAACCACUCUUUGUCCAUUAUAGGCAAAGCUACUAAAAUGGGGAACUAUGCAUUGGCUCUAUCUCCUUUCAAACCAUUCAUCAAGUCUACGAAUAUAAGUGGUAUUGUCCAUACUGUACAUAUUACUAGGUCUAUGAUGCAUGUACCAAAUAAAAGAUGUCUGCAUAAAUGCAGGGUUAUAUCCCUUAUUCCUGAAGCAAAAUAGUACCAGAUUUCUCAAUGCUAUGGAAGUCAUAGCUUCCUUUAGAAAAACUGUACAAAAGGCCAAGUGAAAGGCCUACAUCUAAUGUUGACAUCUUUCGCAGAUUAUUCUCCACUCAAAGUGAAUAGGUAGAUCAAUCAAAACCAUAACUAGAAGUGCAUUACAAUUACACAUUCAUAUGUGUACAAUGAAAUUUGCAGUGCCUCACAAAUUCAAACACCAAUCAGCAUGGACACACAAAAUUGAUCCGUAUAAAUGGAAAACCUAAAUUACAUCAUUGAGCAGACUAUCUACUAAUAAUAUACACUAACAUUCAUUUGAAGGAAACCUGCCUUUAAACAGCAGAUAAAGGUAAACAUCAACCAAAAAAAUCAUUGUAAUAUACAUACAAAAAACAGGACAAGGCAUAUUUUUUAAUCAAUAUAAUCAGUCAAUUCUACCCAAAAAAAUCAUUGUAAUGUACACACAAAUUUACCUAGAAACGCUGAAAAUAUCCACAAGAUAAAUGUAAAGUAAAUUUUGAGAUUCGAAGUGUUUACUUCGUCAAUGGUUUGGGUUUUGCGACUGCGAUGGAGAAACAGGUUUGACUUGAUAAGCGUCCAAGAUGAAUGUUGAGCAACUGCAAAACAAAUCUUUAUGCUGUAAUUUCGAAAUAGUUCAUCAAGAAUUUGUGGUAAAUCAAAAAAUGGAAAGAUAAAAAUCAACAAUUAAUUAGAAAUACCGAUGGCGGCGACCUUUGGGCUUUCACCGUGGACUACUGGAAAGGUGGCGCCAGCAAGUGCAUGAGAGAUUGAGAGCAAGAGACAUGCACUAAAUAUUUCUAAUUAUUUGUUGAGAGCGAGGCUGCGAGAGAAGACUAAGAGAUUGAGAGCACCGUGGACUACCGGAGAGGUGACGCCAACGAUGGCGAUGGCGAGUGACGAGUGAAACUGAGAGAUUGAGAGCGAGGCUAUGAAAGAAGAUUAGAAAUUUAGGGUUAACUUGUCUUCUAUUUUGUUUGAGGCGGGGGUGAGUUUGAUUAAAAAUUUCCCUUUCCGCAACGUUCAUUGAACGUUGCAACAUUUAGUUAAUGUUGCGAAAAGUGUCCUUUUGCAACGUUUAUGAAGUGUUGCAAAAAGUGAAAUUCACUGACUUUUAGCAAUGUUUACUGAACGUUGUGAAAAAAUCAAACCUUUCGCAAUGUUCAAUAAACAUUGCAAAGGGCGAUUUUUUUAGCGUUGCAAAAGGCAAGUUUCAAAAACGUUUAUUAAACAUUGCAAUAAAUUUAACUUUUAGGAAUGUUUAAUAAAUGCUGUAAAAGUCAAACAUUUCGCAACAUUUGAUAAAUGUUGCGAAAGGCUACAUUAGCAACAUUUAUUUACAAAAUGUUGCCAAAGCUGAAUUUUGUUAACUAAUGACAACAUUCACUUAUUCAAAUAUUGUUGUAGACCCCUUUAUCAACAUUUAACUACCGAAUGUUGUCUUUUAUGUGUUGCAAAUUAUCAUUUUUGGUGUAGUGUUUGAUACAUGGUUUUGCACCUUAAUUUUCGGUUUGAAUAUAGUAGAAUCCUUCUACUUCAUAAGGGAGCUUGGAGGAGACACAAAUUUAGACCUAGGGUUCGGUGAAUUGAAGAACAAGAAUUGGGGAUCUCGAAGUUCACGCUUAAAGAUUCUACAACCUUCUCUUUUCUCUAUUUUGGUUAUGUCGAGCUACACUCUUAUUUGUUUGAUUACUUUGAAUAUAUAGCUAAAUUUUCAUUAGCUAGGACGGUGAUGUAAAUCACUCUUUUGAAAACUUAGUUUAAUUUUUAGUUUUGAACUUCAAAUGUGAAUAGUGAUUGAUCACUUGUUAUUGAUUUUAAUACAUUCAAUUAUUUAGCCACUAGUUAAACGAUUUAUGGACUUAUUGAUAUCGAGGGGUGAUAUUCAUGUUUAAAUCAAAUAAUUAACAAGUACAUAAGUAGUAAAAAAUAAAAAGUAACAUAAAUCUCGAGAGCAGAAAUAGAUUUUAACUUUAUUUGAGAGAAACUUUUAAAUAAUGUCUUCAAAAUAAACAAGUAUUAUCGAUUAGGUGAUUGUUUGAAUUAAAGUAGAUAAGUAUAUAGGUAAAAUCAAAGUUAUAUUUGAAACUUCUUCAAAGUUCAAAAUUAUUUUUAGCUUAACUUUAAGUAAUUUUUUAGUUAAAAUCAAAAUCCAAUUAAAACUUGGUAUAAAGACUAUUUGGUUUGAUUCAUAACUAAUAAGUUCUAGUGGAAUCAACACUCUAUUUGCUCUUAACUACUUGUCUACAAUCCCGUGCACUUAAGAUUUUUAAGCGACAAAUGACAAAUGUGUCACACAUUACUAAACUAAAAGACAAGUUGAAAAUCGAGAAUUUUAAAUUGCUAAGAAUUUUUCUAGGACAAUAUAACAAAAGACCAUUGCAAGAUGUUCUUUUUAGUGAAUGAGCACUUCUUGUGAAAAUUAGUGAAACGAGUACUUUUAAAUGAAAUUACUGAAAACACCCAUAAUGUUAUAAUUUUUCAUAAAAUUCAACCAUUACUUGAUAGGUGCACACUUUAGUCAAAUCUUGAAAGUCACCAAAAAAAAAAAAAAAAAAAUAUCAUUCUAGGAGAUCUUUUGGUGGCAAGCUGAUAGUUCGACAAAUUAAGAUGGUUAAAACUAUUUUCAUUUUUUGAGAUGGUUAGAGUUGUGUCCUUAGAUGGUUAGAAUUAGGCCUGGGCAAUUUAACUGGAAUUGAAUCUUGCGAAUCGAAAUCAGAGGUGCCAAUCUGAUUCUCAAAAAAAAAAAAAAUUAGGGACCAAAAUCGAGAAUCGGUAACUGACCGGAUUCUAAUUUGUAUUUAUAAUUUAUAGAUUGCAUAAUAAAAUACAAAAUAUAAAAACCCUAAUUUGGAUAGUAAUUUGUUUAAAAAUGUAGACUUUAACUCGAAGAAAUAUAGUCUGACUCCUACUUUUUUCCUUAUUGCCUCACAUUAGAUUGUUGUAUUAUAGAGGUUAGUACAUAUUAAUCUUUACAAUUUGAACUUUUUAUGAAUCAAAAAGUUCAAGUUAAGUUGUGGUGUAAGUUGAUGAAUCAAAGUGUUCCUUAUUUAGAUUUACUUGUAAAAUUAUUUUGUGGGGGAAUGGGUGAUUGAAAAUGAGUAUUGGAAAAAUGAGUUUUUGAAAAAAUAGAGUCCAAAUUGGUUUAUCUUGAGUUCGUGGUUCUCUUUUGAAAUAUAUAUAUUUUUUCUUUUCUAUUCAAAUGUAGUGAGUUCAAUAUGUCAAUUGUGAUUUCUUAAUAUUAUAUAGUUAUGUAUUUAAUUAGUAUUUUUUUUGUUAGUUCAUUUUAAAAGUAGAAGAAUUCAUAAUUAAAUUAUAGGGUUUAGCAUGCCCCACUUUGGAUCGAAUAAGAUUUAUUAAUAAAAAAACAAUUUUUUCUCAAAUUGUAAUUAAAUUUUUGAUGUUUUAAUUUUCUUCUCUUUUCAUAGUUUUUAGUCUUCACUAUUUUGCUUCUUGAAGAUUUAUUAGCUGAAUUUUCUCAAUUGCACAAAUAUUGUGAGUAGUAGCGUGUUAUGUAUAUAAUAAGUACUAAAAGAGUCUAUAUGAAAAUAUCUAUUAAAUGUAUUUAAAAAAUGUUAUGGGCAGAAUCGAAUCCAAAUCAAAACCGCCAGUUCAGGUUUGGGUUUGGUUCUAUCAUUAUAAUGACCCGAAUUAUUCUAUUUACGAAAUACUUGAAUUAUAAUAUGUGGUUCCGAGUUAAAAUAUUCAGAUCGAUCCACCCGACGCCCAAGCCUAGUUAGAAUUGUCUUGCGUCCCAAUAAUUGUCUCGAAAAAUGAAUAUUCUCUUGAAAAAUUUCAAGAUUGGCUCAAGCAACUAAAAUCUUUAUCUGAAACUAAAUAGCAUAAAUCAGCUUUAGAAUUUUGAUUAUUUGCUAUAGCUAAGUCUGGGAUAUAAUAAGUGAGUUAGGUUAGAGUGGGACAUAUUUCUAGGGUGUUUGGAGUUAUUUGGACUAAUUAACAUACUUACAUAAUAGCAAAGUUCAAACAUCUUAGCCCCCGGAGCACAGCUCAACUAGUGGAUCAAUCAACAUUGUCUUGCUUCCAGCGACAGUGUGGAGAGUUCGAUUCCUGGUGGGAACCUGCGGCCAAAUAUUUGGUAUGGAGCAAUCAUUGUGGAGGAGGGUCUCUUGUGCGCCAAAGUGUACAGGCAAUGGGAAGAACCUGUGAUCCAGUUGAGGCAUAACCCGCGAUUUACUCCCUCCGAGGUUUUAGGGGCAAGGGUCUUGGGGGUCCAGAAUUUAGUUUGGUGUAAGUUGGAAUACCUAGAUAUCAAAAAAAAAAAAAAGUUCAAACAUCUUACAUUGUGUGGACCAAUUAUGGUACCAGUCCAAGUACGCAUGUAAAUGUCAUCAGCAUCAUCCAUUCCAUAGCAAACAAAACCAUCCCCAAUACCCUUUGCCCCAUGUUGAAGUUCCUCCAGCAACUUGAAGUUUUGAGGAACUAUCAACAAAUCAGCGGUGGUGCCAGAGAUUCUUUAUUUUCAGAUCAAAGAUUAAGGUUAUGGAAUACUCAAAUACAUCUAAACUCGCCAUAUCUCUGGAGUAUAUAGAAGGCCGAAAGUACUAUGAUAUAGUAUUGGUAAAAUUCGGUUCUAUAAUCUAAUUCAAGGCAAAUCAAUGGCGAACAAAUAAAAAAUGUCAUCUCAAAUCAACAUUAUAUGAUGUAUGAAAUUGCCUUUGUUGCAGCCAAAUCAACUCCUUACACUAACAAAUUCAACAAAUAUAAACAACCAAUUCAUAUCUGAGAUUACCAAGUGCACAAAAUAUUUCAAAUGAUUGAAUAAAGCCCAGUUCAAAUGUACCCAAAAAAUGCAGGGACACACUGCAGAAAGCACACGAUUAAAGAAGAGGGAUAAUAAAAAAUUUCAUAAAAGGUAAGUCAUUUUAGCUAUACCUAUAAUGAGUUGAUAGUGAAAUCAAAGAAGAAAAUUACAUUUUAUUCUAAUGUCUGUUAGGUAUUCAAGAAAAUUUCAAAUAUAAUAAUAUCUAAAUGCAACAUAGCCAAGGUGAGAGAAGUGUUUAUGAGGCUAUUUAUGUCUCAAAGAACGCAAAUCACCUCCAAAACAGUACUCAAAAACAACACAAGAAGUGAGAGGCUUCAAAUUCUGCAUAAAAUGUAGGCAAAUAGAGUUUUACUACAUGUACAACUAAUUUGAUGAGCCAUAAUAUGGUAGGUGCAGUUUGGUCAUUGAUUUGAAUAUUUAUUCAAAUUAAAGGCCAAGAUGUUUAUACCUCGUGAAGUAUCAAAAUUUUGUACAAAACCAUUGUACAAGUAGUUCAACUCUUGGAAAAAAUGGAUAAUAUGAAAGUCUCAAGAUUUUUCUAUCAAUUUCAAAGGGCUGCAAAUAUAUCUCCCAAAAUGAAGAUUCCAAAGGGUCAAGAAAUCUCACCUUCUCCUUGACCCAAAGGGUUAAAAACUAAAGCUACAAGGUCAAAUUACUGUUGGGUCAGCUGACCCCACAUGUAGGUUCGCCAGUGCAACAAACAUUUUUUUUUUUCUUUUUAAUAUAUGUCUCCUAUACAUAAUGCAUUUUACUUCCUAGGAUCUAUCUUCUUGGAUAACAUAGAAAAGGUCAAGCUGUCUUUUACAACAGCUCCAGUCAAAUGUUAUGUAUGUCCUUUUUGUAUGGCAUCACGACUUAUUGUGCUGAAAAAGGGGGAAAAAAGGGUGAAUUAAUAUUCUUCAGAAACCAUGUAAUUAAAUCCAUGAAGAACAUGAACUAGGCAGCAACUCCAAGUUCUUGAGUGCAAAGAAGAAAGUGAGUUAUAAGUAACGAAGUUUUUUUUAUCCAAAAUACAGCAGUGCCUUAUACAUUCAAAAAAUUGAACUAAAUAUCAGCAAAUAUCAUUUUGAGUUCACUAUGAUUCCGUGAAAUGAAAAUAAGUGAGCUUUAGAAGAAAAACCACACUCCCUUAGCCCAUGUCAUCUAGAUCGAGAUAUAAACUUUGUGACCAGAAAAAGAACUUCUCCAAUGUACCUAAUAUGAUCGAAUAUGCAAAUUGCUUUAUUAUAUUCCAAUGUAUCUGCCGUUUGCCAUAUCUUAAUUUGGUUGUUUCUCACUUUUACAAUUGAUUUGUCACUCAUCACCACGUGAUUGCGUUUUGAAUUGUCUAGAUAAUAAUGAUAUUACUUGUAUAGAAAUUUGCGAGCUUACUUUUUUCUGAAUAUUGGAGAGAAUUCAGACCAAGAUGGCAAUGAAAAGCUGAAAGUCACAAAGAGGUUGAUACACCAUAUUCGCCAAUUAAUGAUCAGUGAUUUUAAAGGAACUAGAUCUCUACUUGUCUUUUAUUUCCAUUCAACAGCUUUUAAGUCGCCGAUCAAGGUGUAUUAAUGAAAACACACAAACAACUACCAUUCAUUCAGUAAAGGACAAUAUGUAAAAUAUCAAAAAAUACAGUUGACUUUCUUCCAUUGCCUUGUAAUAAAAUAAUAUUUAUUUAAAGUCAAGAGAAAUUAAACAUUAGAACUUAACAGGGGAAAAAAAAAAAAAAAAAUGCAAAACAUAUCCAGGAAAUCUUUGCUUGGAGAUUAUUCAAACAUGGAAAACUUGGAAUUCGCAAUUGUGAUGCCCCCAUCAACAAAAAGGUUGUGUCCAUGAACACACUUCGACUCAUCGCUUGCCAAGAACAGAACAGCUUCAGCCACAUCCUCUGGUUUAAGGUAAACACCUUUGAGAAUAGAAUAUACAGUACCGAAUUCCUCAUCAUCCAUUUUAUAGAAAUCCUUUGAUUGCCGUGUAGGAACUACGUGUGGCGACACGCAGUUUACUCGAAUGCCAUAUUUUCCAAGCUCCACAGCCAUAUUCUUCGUGAGUCCCACCACCCCGUGUUUCGAACUUACAUAAUUGUGCGAAGAACCACCGCCUAUUUUCGAACAAGUGCUCGCUGUCGUGAUUAUGUUCCCACUGCGAUUCGGGAUCAUUACCCGAGCAGCGUGUUUAGCACCCAAGAAUGCACCUACGAGGUUUACAUUAAUAAUCUUUUCGAACUCAGAUUUUUCGAUGUCAAGAAUGCUGGGAUUUGGUACUCCACCUAUACCAGCAUUAUUGUGCAGAAUAUCUAAUUUCCCAAAUUUGUCAACAGCUGUGUUAACUGCCGUUUCUAUAUCGGAUUCUUUAGUUACGUCACAGUGGACAUAAGAGGCUGAUGAUUUACCCAAUUCCUUGCAUACCUUCUCUCCCAAAUCGUCGUUGACGUCUGCAACCAGAACUUUAGCUCCAUGUUUGGCGAACAAUCUGGCAGUUGAUUCGCCGAUUCCAGUAGCAGCACCGGUGAUUAGAGCGACCUUGCCUUCCAGUCUAGUUUCAAACAUUUCGUUAGUACAAUAUUCAUAACAUAUCAAAGUAAAAUGCCUCAAGAAUCAAAAAAUAGUUCACAAUUUUUUACCAGAAAGCAUUAUGAACAAUGAAAGAGUUAUACCUUCUAAUGAAAGAAGCCAUUUACGAACUUAACGCAAUGAACUUUAACGCGGUGAACUUCUUUGCGGUGAAUGAAUUGAUAAUUUUUCUGCACUUUUUAACGUCUUUUAUAGUGCAAAUUCUGAAGACAGGACAUCUACGCGCAACUAGGCAUUAAUUUCUAACUAAUAUGAAAAAUCUCUCUCCUCGUCAUUUCCAACGCAAGUGGGCAUUUAUAUUUUUUGACUAAUUUGAUUUUGCAGAUAAUUAUUACCUCUUUCCUCGUCAUCUCCAACGCAAGUAGUCAUUUUCUUACUAACUAAUACGAUUUUUAAGAUAUUUGUUCUCUCUUUCCUCGUCAGAUCCAACGCAUUCUGACUAAUGUUCUCUCUUUCCUCGUCAUUUCCGACGCAUUUCUGACUAACCUCAUUUUUCAGAUAAUUUUUACGUGCCUAAUUUUUUUCAUGUUAUUUGUGACUAUUUAGAAAAUAAAAUUGGUCAACUUAUUAGUCUUGUGAGUCGCAUUAUAGUCGUAGCAUGAUAGCUCGGUCCAUUUAUUUUAUUUAAGUAUUGUUGGAGAAGAAAUAAUAUAUCAAUAUUGGACUCAUUCUGUAGCUCACAUUGAAUAAUGUAUGUUGUGCUCAAGAAAAAGUAAAUUCAUAUAAAUUAAGCCCAAGUCACAAUCAUUCAAAGAAAUACGUUUAAUGAAAAUUACUUAAUAACUUAAGUUUUAAGAUAAUUAGCAUAAGAUAAUACUUAUUUUAUUCUGUUUUUCAGAAUGUGCAUAAACGCUUUCUUUUCUGUUUCCUUUAAGGAAGAAAAUUCAAAUUCUUAAAUUCAAAUCAUUUAUUGUUUGGUCGUCUCUUUCAUUCUUCUAUUGUUAGAUAAAAGAGAACGUACACUCCAACCACUCACCUACAAAGCUUUGUUCACAAUCUAAUUUUUUUUUUUUUUUUUUUUUUUUUUCUUUUUGCCUUUUUUUUUUUUUUUGUUUUUCAUUAUGCCAUUUUUGUUAUUGUUGACCUCGGAUUUAAAUUGAUUUCUAUUCCGUAUAUUUCUUUCAACAUUUGAAUUUUUUUUUAGCCAUAUUCUCAUAUCCUCGAUUUCGAAGAAAAGGAUUAUAUUCCUUAAGAUGGACUCGUAUCCGAAUUUAAGUAUCAUAUCAAAGAGAUCCACGCUAAAGAACCUGAAAUAAAAAGGUUAAGGUAAUUUAUCGUUGUCCAAAAAAUAUGUACUUAUUCAUUUUAUUAUCGAGUUAUGCACCUUUGGGUUACAUCUAUAAGCAAGGGAGAAUGUACCAAGUUUCAAUGUCUACUGUAAUUAAUAAACUAAUACAUUUUAGUACAAUGGCUAAUCACAUUAACAUCAUCAUUUUUACUAACAAUUUAAUGUAAUUUAAGAAUUAACAUAAACGUCAAAAUCACUACAAUCUAAUGCGAUACAGCUAGUAUAUAUGAGUACAAUUUAAUAAUUUAAUAAUAAUUUUAAAAUUAUUAUCCACGCAUCCCAGUUGUGUUUUUAAAAUUAUUAUUAAAUUAUUAAAUUGUACUGUUAAAUACUAGCUGAACAUCAUUAGACUGAGUGAUUUUGGCAUUUAGGAUAAUUCUUAAAUUGCAUUAACAAUGUUAGUAACAAUGAUGAUGUUUCUUUAACAAUGUUAGUAACAAUGUGAUUAACCAUUGUACUAAAAUGUAUUAGUUUUUAAUUACAAAAGACAAUGAAUCUUGGUGCCUUCGCCCUUAUAGAUGUAUACCAAAGGUGCGUGACUCGAUAAAUAAGAUGAAUAAGUACACAUUUCAAUUGGGCAAUAAUAAAUUACCUUAGCCUCCCUUCUUCUUCUUCUUUUUAUUUUACUAUUAUUAAUUUUUUCAGAUUCUUUAGUGUGAAUCGCUUAAAUUUGGAUACGAGUACAUAUUUAGAAAUAUGAUCCUUUUCAUCUAUAGUAGAGGAUACGAGAAAACGACUAAUUUUGGACGAUGUGUACGUCUUUCAAACUUAAUUUUUUUUCUUUCGAAAUUUAUAUAUUAAAAAUUAGCCUCAACUUGGCCAAAUUUAUAAAUUAUUUAUAAAUGAUCAAACUUCAUUUUCAAUCAACAUUUCAACGGAUCCACAAGAAGUAUUCACUUAUCCACCAACCAUUUUUAUUUAUUUAUAAAUUGUUGGAAUUUUAAAAUUCGAUUUUUCUUCCAUUUUGUUCCAUAUCCAUCAUUUAAGGAAACAAAAAUUAACACACUGGAAAGCAUAAUUUGUUACCCACAUCUAUGAUCUAUCUUAUCUUGAUUUAAAACAAACAAUGGAGUACAAUUAAGAUAGAAGAUAAACCUUAAUCUUUUGUAAUAUAAUAAUUAUAUCUUAUGCUAAUUAUCUUUAAAAAAUUAUAAAAUAAUAUUCGUUAAAUACGUUUCUUUGAAUGAUAGUAAAUUAGGCUUAACCUAUGCGAAUUUACUUUGCACACCCUACCUUUUUUAAUGUCAACUACCAAACAAGUCAAAUAUUAUUAUAUUUUUUCUUCUCCUAAAAUACUUAACUAAGCAGAAUAAAGCAAGGACGAAGCUGCAAUGCCGGGGUGGGGGUUGAACCCCCACAGGCUCCUCACAAUACAAGGGGUUGGCGUUUUUGGGAUAUUUUUUAAUGAGACAUGUGAGAGGCCUCGUGAAAUGGGGCCUAUACAUUCAAUUUUAUUCAUAAAGCAAAAGGAUGGAUUGAGUUGUCAUGGUACCUUAAUGUAAUUGACGAAGCUAAUAAGUGAAUUGAUUCUAUUUUCUAAAACAUACAAAAUUAAGCACGUGAAAAUUAUUUGAAGCAUUACGAUAAUUAAUUAUUGUGGACACAGGUAGGUGGAAAUAGACAACAAUUAUCUAAAAAAAUCAGAUUAUGAAGAAAUACCUAAUUCCAUUGCAAAUGACGUGGAAAUUACGUGGAAAGAUAUAAUAAAUAUUUGAAAAAAUCAGAUUUAGUUAGAAUAAAAUGCCUACUUGCGUUGGAAAUGACGUGGAAAGAGCGUACAAAAAUCAGAUUUUUUUAGAAAUAAAUGCCUACUUGCGUGUAAAUGUCUUUAUCCUCUUCAUGACUACAUUAUAAAAGACUUUAAAAGGUGCAAGGAAUUACCAAUUCACAUUCGCAGCAAAGAAGUUCACUAUGGAAAGUUCAUCAAUGAUUUAGACUUUUGUUAGAAGGUAUAGCCCUUUAAUUGUUCAUACUGCAUUCUGAUAUUUCCAUGUUCAUUUCUCCUGUUUCUCUUAACUUAAGUAAAUAUUGAUUUUAUUACAAGGCAAUUGUAGAAAGCCAACUAUAUUUCCUGAUAUUAUAGAUAAUGUCCUCUAGUAAAAGAUAGUUCUUCGAGUAUUAUCAUUAAUACACAUGGAUCGAGACUUAAAGGUUGUUGAAUUAUGUAGAUACAGUUCCUUUGAAAUCAUUGGUGAUUAAUUGACGAAUAUGGUGUAUCAACCUCUCUGUGGUUUCUAACUUUUCAUUGGCAUGUUGGUUUUAUUCUCUUCAUUAUUUAGAAAAAGUAAGCUUUCGAAUUUCUAUGCAAGUAUGUAUAUAUAUACCAUCAUUAUUGUCUAGACAAUUCAGCAUAUAAUCACGUAAUGUGAUUGAAUGACGACUGAAUUAUAAGAAUGAAGAAAUUUUGGUUGAGAAUUUUUAUACUGGCAUGGACUGCCCCAUUUAAGUGACUAAUGAACAAAAUUGAUUUGUUAAGAUGUGAUUAAAUAUUUGAAGAGUUGCUUGAUUUGGCUAAACUUUGAUGUUGAUGAAAAAUACAACUGUUUUAUUGAUUCUGGUGCUGUUUCAUUUGGCUAAACUUUGAUGUAGAUGAAAAAUACAACUGUUUUAUUGAUUCUGGUGCUGUUAUCGGUGAUGAAGCCGGGGCGGUGGUGGCAGCUCAAUGGAAGAAAACAGUUGGACAGUGCAAGUUGAGAAAUGGGUUCAUUCUUGCAAAGGAGAGUGGAUUUCAAAUUGCAGUGCUUGAAUGACUUCCUCAUAGUAGUUCAAAUUCUUUGAAUUGAAUUAUUUGUGUCCACCAAUUUCAAUCAUACAUAGGGAGAUGCAGGUGGGUUGAUGUGGGGUAAGCUGACCCCACAAUUUUUUAUUUUUUAUUUUUGAAUUCUUCUUAUUUUAUUUAUUUAUUUUCACUUUUUAUCUUAUCUGCACCUCAACUUGUCCCAAACUUCAAAUUCCAAUGCACCUAAAAUUGUCAUUUUUCACCAAAUAAUUUAUAUUUGUUUCUUAGCUGGUUUGCACAGACGCCAAUGAACAACCAUGUUGAUUAGAUUUUUUAUGGACUUAUGGUCCAAAUAUUUUUCAAAUUUUUAUAAUUUUAUUGAGAUAUAUUGGUGGAUUCUUGCGCUUUUGAGCAUCUCGGCCGACUUAUUUGUUAGAAAAAAAGGUUCCUGCUUUUUGCUAAAUAAAUUAAGUUCAUACUCUAUAAUUGUAUUUUUGUUGAAGAAAUUUGUGCCGAUUUCAGUUUCGACUUCGAUCUCAUUUCCGAAGGAAGCAAUGACCUACCCUAACUUGGUGGUUUUGGGUUAUAGGAAUAUUAGAAUUCAUUGUUGGAUACUUAUUUUUAUGAAAAUUUUUUUCCUAUUGUGCUUUAAGUAGAACAUAGCACUGUGUAAUUUGCCCAUUGAAAUUGAUUUUAUUUUUAUGGUUUCAAUUAAUAGAAUAACAUUCAUUUAUUUUUUGAGUUUCACAUCAAACAACCAUGGAAAAAUAAUGUAAAUGAAAAUCUCUAUAUUCGAGUGAAGAGUAAAAUAUUGGUGAAACGAAUGUUCAAGUGAAAAAGGCAUUUGAAAAGUAUUAUUUGUAACUUAAUUGUUGACCCCUCCAUAAAAAAAAUGUCCAGCUCUGUAACUGGUUGCUAUGGUGUUAUUAGAUAUUAAGUCUUUACUUGUCCAUACAAAUUGCGGUAUUUGCUAUUUCAUUUCUCGUGGGGGAAUAUGGUAGCCACAAUGUAGUAAUAGCUUUCUUUUCGAUUUACAGGGUUGGUAUUGAUAGAAUGAUUGUAUAUUCAUCAUUUUUUACAAAUUGAACCAACUUUAAUUUCAAAUCUAUCUAAACCAAAUCACCUUUUUCGAUUCGGUUUGAUUUAUUACAAGUAUUACAAACCAAAGUUAUACACUUUUAAUCAUUACAAUGCAACAACAUAAUAAAAAUAAUUUAGUUUUAACUUCUUAUUUGAUACUAAUUGGUGCAACCAUCUUUUCACUUAAUGAACUAUUAAAGAAAUCAAGAAUCCAACCACUAGUAGGGAGUGCAGACUGAGAAGCAAUUGCGAAUAUUUGAAUUGCUAACAUAAUUUUACCAAUUUGGGAGACAAUUUUGUACUUAUUUCCAUUCAAUUUUCGUCAAAGUAAUAUGUCGAAAGUUUUAAUUGGACAAGUCUUCACAACGACCAUUUAAGUACUUCAUCAAAUCAUUCUAACAAUUAACGGUAAAAUUAUAAAAUAAAUUUUAAAAAAAAUAAUAAAUUGAGUGACUUGACCAGGAAAGUAAAACGUAUAUAAAUAAAAAAUAAUGUUCAGCUAAAAAUUUAAGGACUUCCACACAAAUCGAACAAAGCAAUACAACUACCAAUAGAUAUAGCAAAUAGUUACCAAAAAAAUAAGAAAAUUAGGUAAACUGGCUUGAAAAUUAAGCCAAAUUGGAGAAAAAAAUAUCAGUAAAAGGAAGAGAAAUGAUGCGAGUUUGGAUUAAAAUUUAGAUUUAAUUAUCUAAUCAAUUGUGAUGGGCUACUGAUAAAUAUAUUUCAACAGCAAUCAUUCAGUGCUUUAGCCAAUUUGAAGGUUUUACAUUCACAAUUUUGAUCACUAAUGGGUAAUAGAAUAUGGUUUAAUUAAUUAAUUGUUAUGGUAAUAGUCUAUUUGGGUUGGGUCUAACACGGAUGUAUCGUUUUAAUUGUGUUGGAUAUAAUUUAAAUUAAUUUAUUUUGAGAUUAAAACAGUUUGCAUUAAUUGAAAUCUAAAUCAAAUGACUUCGAAGCGACUUGAUUCGAUUCAAAAUCAAAAUGUUGAUGAACAAGUUAUUUCUCUAUAAUGGGAAUUCAUGCUUUGAUCCUUCAAAAUAUUAACUAUUAAAACCAAGUACUCAUUGUACUCUUAUAUAUUAGCUGUAUUGCAUUAGAUUGUAGUGAUAUUGACAAGUUGGCAAUGAUAGGGACAUUGCCCAAAUCAAAUUACAAGACAAGCGUAGUGAUAAGAAAAUUACAAAUAUCGACGUGGAAACACAUCACACUGAGCUGGAAAAGGGAUUUAGUUAUAAUUAAUGCCUACUUGCGUCCGGAUAUAUGAUUGUUUUGUGUCUUUAGCAGUCCUUGCACUAUAAAUACGUUUACAAGUGCAGAGAAUUACCAACUCAUAUUCACAGCAAAGAAGUUCUCAGGAUAUUUGAACUGUGGGAAGUUCAUUAAUGGCUUCGACUUUUGUUAGAAGGUAUAACUCUUCAAUCGUUCAUACUGCAUUCUGAUAAAAAAAUUUGUAACUAGUAUAUAAUUCUUGAGGCAUUUACUUCUAAUAAAUUGAACUUUUUUCUCAGAGUACAAGUGCAUGUUAUUUUGAUACUUGGGUUGGCAAUUGUCACAAAAGUUUUCAGUAGACUAUUAUAAAUAUGUUGUACUAACAAAAUAUCUGAACCUAGGCUCCAAGGCAAGGUAGCACUAAUCACAGGUGCUGCUAAUGGAAUAGGCGAGUCAACCGCCAAACUGUUCGCCAAACAUGGAGCUAAAGUUAUGAUUGCAGACAUCAAUGAUGAUUUGGGAGAGAAGGUAUGCAAGGAUUUGGGAAAAUCAUCAGCCUCUUUUGUCCACUGUGAUAUAACUAAUGAAUCAGAUGUAGAAACUGCAGUCAACACAACUGUUGCCAAAUUUGGGAAAUUAGAUAUAAUGCAUAAUAAUGCCGGUAUAGGAGGGAAAGCAAAUCCAAGCAUUCUUGAAAUCGAAAAGUCGGAGUUUGAAAAGAUUAUUAAUGUAAACCUCGUAGGUGCAUUCUUGGGUGCUAAACACGCUGCUCGAGUAAUGAUCCCGAAUCGCAGUGGGAACAUAAUCACAACAGCGAGUACCUGUUCAAAAAUAGGGGGUGGUUCUUCACACAAUUAUGUAAGUUCAAAACAUGGGGUGGUAGGACUCACAAAGAAUAUGGCUGUGGAGCUUGGAAAAUAUGGCAUUCGAGUAAAUUGUGUGUCGCCACACGUAGUUCCUACCCGUCAAUCUAAGGAAUUCUACAAAAUGGAUGAUGAGGGAUGCCGUGGUGUGUAUUCCAUCCUUAAAGGUGUGUUUCUUAACCCAGAGGAUGUGGCUGAAGCUGUUCUGUUCUUGGCAAGUGAAGAGUCAAAGUUUGUGACUGGACACAACCUUUUUGUUGAUGGAGGCAUCACAAUUGCAAAUUCCAAGUUUUGCAUGUUUGAGUAAUCUCUAUAAUACAUUUCCUAGAUUAUGUUUCUCCCUGUUCAGUUCUCAUGUUUAAUGUACCUAUCUCUCAUGUUUGUCUGAACUUUAAAAAAUAAAAAUAAAAAAAUAUUAAUGUUAUUAUUACAAGGCAAUUGUAGAAGUUUUUCUGAUAUUUUAGAUAAUGUCCUCUAGUAAAAUGGCAGUUGUUUGAGUAUUAUCAUUAAAACACGUGGAUUGAAGCUGUUGAAUGAAAAAUAAAAAAUAUGUCGAUCUAGUUCCUUCGAAAUCAUUGGUUAUUAACUGGCGAAUUUGGUGUAUCAACCUCUUUGUAACUUCUAACAUAUUGGUCUUAUUCUCUCCAUUUUUCAGAAAAAGUAAAUCUUUUUUCAUUCAAAUAGAGCAACUUGACAGUCCCCUCUCUUUGUAUUUUGUGACAUUGGUGGCCAGUCGAACUGUCAAAAUUUCCUACAUGUGACCAACGCGUUUGUCACGCAAUAUAGAGCUAACUUUCAUAGCUAGACGCUACAACUGUUUUGUAAUAUACUAGCGUGGAUUGCUUUAGAUUUUAGUGAUUUUAACAUUUAUGACAACUCUUAAAUUGUAUUAAAAUUGUUAGUAACAAUGAUGAUGUUAAUGUAAUUACCACUGUACUAAAAUGUAUUAGUUUUUUUAAUUACAGAAGACAAUGAAAGUUGGUGCUUUCUCCCUUUGCCUAUAGAUGUAAACCAAAGGCACGUGAUAAAUAAGAUGAAUAAGUACAUAUUUCAAUUGGACAAUAAUAAAUUACCUUAGCCUUUUUAUUUUGGAUUCUUUAGCAUGGAUCUCUUUGAUGUGGUGCAUAAUUUCAAAUACGAGUACAUAUUUUGGAAUAUUUUUCUUCGAAAUUUAUAUAUUAAAAAUUAGCCUCUAUUUGGGAAAAUUCAUAAAUUAUUUAUAAAUGGUCAAAUUUUAUUUUCAAUAAUGCAUUACAAUAGAUCCACAAGUAAUAUCCACUUAUAUACAACGCAUUUCUAUUAAUAUAUAAACUAAAACGCUCAUACAUUCUUCCCAGACAGAGGCUCAGAUGUAUUUUGUAAGCUUACAUAUGGCAUGUUUGACAUGUAAACUUAAAAAAUAUAAUUGUAAAUUGUAAUAUUUCGUUUAAAAAUUAAAACAUAAAGUCAAAAAAUUAAGCAGGGUGGAGCCAUGAAAUGAUUUUGGGUUGGCUAAAAUUAAAAUUUAUAAAUAAGUUCACACUACGAGAGAUCGAGUUUAGGAGACUGUGCUCAUUACAUUCAUGGCUAAUAUUAUCAAACGCUCAAUGAAGUACACGUUUAGAUGUUCAUCCUAAAAUGUCCAACUAGAUAUUAAUCUUAUUUUUUUAGAAAUACGUAAUUCACACUCAACUUAGAAAAUAAGUGUAAAAACCGACAAGGAAUUUCAAAGGUAAAAAAAUGAUUUAUUUCACAUCCAUAUUUGAUUCAGCUUCCAUAAUACACAUAUAAUUUGAUUAUUUAAAAGUAAAGAAGUUCUUAUAAAUAUUAUUUUUAUUAUAAGAUUAAUUAUAAAGUAAGUUACUUAUUUUAAUAGUAAGAUCUAUUUCAUGGUCAAAAUAUGUAAAUUUCUUGCUUAUGAAUAUCAUGAAUAUAUUAUAUUUGAAAAUAGUUUUAUAAAUAAAUAAUAAUAAUUACUUUAACCUUUGCCAAACAUUUAGUGUCAAAAUAUGUUUUCAUGUGGUUGAAAAGCAUUCUUUUGUUUGUAAAAUAACUUAUUUGUGUUGGUUGAACUUAUGUCUGUUGGUUGAGGGAAUGGAAAGUAUUUGUUACAUUGGUUGGUACAUUUUAUUUAUAUGAUAAAUAUUUGGGUUAGUUUUUCAUCUAAGCUUAAAAUAAUUAAUUAGUUUAAUGUUGUUUAUCAUGGUAGCUUGUACUCAAAAAUAUUUUAAUUUUCAUCUUAGCUGAGUUGGAAUUAGAUUUGUGUACUUAUUAUAGGUGCUGGUAAUCAAAUAAAUAAAUUAAAAAAUUAAAAAAUUAAAUUAAAAUUUAUGGCUUGCUGUUGGUUUUGCACGCCGUAAAUGCUAACGAGGUAACCUUUCAUGGCGUGCGAUUGCACACCGUUAAAAGGAAAAACUUGCAUUUACGGCGUGCAAUCACACGCCGUUAAAAGUAAAACUCUCAUUUUUUACGACGUACAUGUGUACGCCGUUAAAAGGAAAAAAUGCAUUUUCGCUGCACGUCGUAAAAAAUCAUAUAACUAAUAACGGCAUUCUAAAAUGGCGUACUUUGUAAGCCGUAAAAAGUUGACACUUAUUACGGCAUUGCUUUAUACGGUGUGCGGCCGCACACCAUAAAGGUGUUUUUACGGCGUGCUUAAAAAGUCUGUUUUGUUGUAGUGAAUAAGUGAUUUAUUUUAGCUCUGAUCUAUACAAUUUAUUUAUUAUAAAAGUUUAUUUACACUCUCUCCGUCCCAUAUAGGGCCGGUCCUGUGAUUUUCGAGGCUCGAGGCGAAGUCCAUAAAUUGGGCUCCUCCUCACGAAAUCAACGUAAAUGCAAAAUUCAACGGUAUAUCUUGCAUGCUAUUGCUAACUUAAAACUUAACAUUAAAACAACAAACAAAUAUAUUAUUUCAACGAUAUAUUAUGCAACCUAAUGUCCAAUGAUUAACCUAAAAGAAAUUAUGAAAUAUCUCAAUCAUUUCACAAUUAGAGUUUUCAAUAUAGUUACUACGCGCGCCUGUACAAUUGUUGAUCAUAUAAAACCAAUCAUAUAACCCGACCAGACCACCAUUAUAUAAGCCGACAAGGCUUCAAAUAUUUCUAACAUAUUUAUUAAGAAGUUAGAGCAAGCCAUUACUAAUCUGAAAAGUAGAAUUUUAACGAAAAUUAUGGAAUAACACAUUUUAGAAUUCCACCGUCACAACUCAUAAGCCUGAAAUAAAAAUUUUAUCAUUAGACAAUUCCCUAUUGCUGCCUUAGCCAGUCAAGAACGCUAAAUAAUAAACAGAUACCAAACGUUGUAGGUUCAAAUAGGACACACAUUCUUGGAUCAAGAUGUGUUGAACAAAUUCCCAUUUUUCAUUUUGCAAAUCCAAUAACAUUUUCGAUUAUUUAUGCAAAAAUUUGAGCAUUAUGAAUUUACAGAAACAAUACAAAAAUUAAAAUGACAUCCAGACUCUAUAGUUGUCCCAAAAAAAUUGUGACCUUAUCUCGAUGAAAUUAAAGUGGAUCGUCGAUCGCACUAUUACAUGCAGGAGGGAAAACGAAUGAAAAACCAAAUUUUCCUCUAACUCCCUAAACCCUAUAUAUAUAUAUAUAUAUAUAUAUAUAAGGUACCAAAAUUAGGACCCCUUUGGUUUUGGGCCUAAGGCGUAGGCCUCAAUUGCCUCGACCCAGGACCGGCUAUGCAUAAAGAUAAUUUUGUUUCCAUUUUCAUAGAGAUUAAGUUAGGAAAAAUAAGUUAGAGAAAAGUAGGUUCUUGCAAUUUUUGCCAAUAAAUAUGUAUUUUUGACACUGAAAGAAGGUCAUUUACUCAAAUGCAACGUGAUGCAGUGUGGUAUCAGGUGAGAUAAUGUGUGUGGGAAUGGAAAUGAAGAAAUAAUAUUAAUACUAGCUGUGAAUCUAUAUUCUUGAUUGUGUGAGUCUACUGGACGAUACAAUGUGUGAUGUGGCUCAUAGUUGUAUGGUACAUAGAGAAUCUUGAAAUUGCAUAUCACAUAAUCACGUGCCUAUGAAAUGUAACGUGCCUAAUGGACAUAGCAUGGUAAGAAAUAUAAUGGUUUGAUAGGUUGCACUAUGUCGCAAAGACAUGACCCCCACACUAGAACUUGACGAGCUAUGGCGACCGCUCUUGCUGGCUCAGUCAAAAAAAUAUAUUGGCAACUGCUCAAACAGCCACGCAUAAUUGAGCUACCAUAUUAAUGUCUCUUACCACCACCACCACCGUCGCCUCCAUCUUGGUUGGGAAUGAUGACAAUACUGAUGGGGACACCACUGGUGGUGACACUGCUGUUAAACGCACAAUCUUGGCUAGACUUGCUUGUUGCAGUAGUUGGUAGCUUCAAGAUUGUGGGUUACAUCUAUAGAGACCACAUGAAUGCUUUCUUUACACAGUUUCGGGCUUCAUUGAAGGUUAAUUCUUGCCCAUUUAUUCACUUUAGUAGAUUACAAGAUUUGUUAUUUGACAACUUUUGGCUUUCUUGAAAGAAUAAUUUGUUUUAAAUUGAAAAGGGGAACGAAAAAUGGUUUCUUUUUGCCAUGGAAGCUACCAUAGCUCAAAUAAUUGAAGCUAAAAUAUUGGUUACAAUUAAGAAUUUUUGGAGAAGAUCUCCGAAGUGGGUUUUGGGAAGUAUGUUUCUAGUGAUGAGUUGAGACAGUAAUAGUUUCUUAUUGACCAUGUAUUGGCAUUUUGGGUGAUAUCUCGCUUCCCGUUAGAUGGAUCCAUUUUAGUGAUUUGGGUUAUAUAUAGUAUGGUUUUCACUUGUCAUCCUUGAGAGUUAGCUUGAUGCAGCUUUCUUUUGUUUAAUCUAGUAUUAGUUGAAAUACCAUUGCAACUGUGACAGGUGAAGAUAUGGGUUCGAAAGGUAUGACGUGUAGGCAGAAAUGGUCAAUGAUCAAUGACGUCCUAGCUCACUCCAAUUCCUGGACUCGCCAUUGCACCAUGCGCAAACCUUUAAAAGCUUUCAUACAACAUAAUUAGUACGCAUUACUGGUUACUACCCCUUAGAAUUAUAUUUUUCCAAAUGUCAGAUUUUAAAAGACGGAACUAUGAUUGUGCACAUUCAAGUUACUUCACCCCAUUUAACUUAUAAUAGGAGAGUGUGACCUGUGCCCUACCCAAUAAUGCAUAUCCACUCGAACCCGUCAAACCAUGGCAAUAAUAACAAGUACAGAAAUUUCAUAUUGCCCUUAAUUAGCCAAUUGAAAUAGGAAAAUAUCUUGAGUUAAGAUGUUACUUAAACCUGUGAAUUCGGUGCACACAAAGCUGGCAAGGAUAACCUUAAAUAAAGGGAAAAAAAAUAUAAAUUAAACAAAACGUCAAGAAGCAGUCUUGCAACAUAUUGUCACAUGAUGAAAUAAUAGCCUAUAAAAAUCCUCAACAGAAUUGCAAAAACUUGAGUUCCAAUGCUCAGUGAAAUUGUAGAGUUCAAUGCCACACUGCAUAGCUAGAAAUCACUUGAAUUUUAUCCCUAUUUAGAUGCUGAAUAUGGUGCUCUGCAAACUCAAUUCUACCACCAAAUAUUCUACCAACAGAAUCCAAUGGCUUAUGAACAAUUACGACUACUUCAACCAGAGACUGACCAAGUAACUCAUACGACUAUUUUCUAAUAUCAAAAUAUAUGGCCUUUGAACAAUCAUAAGAUUACUUCAACGAGAGAUUGACCAAGUAACUCGUAUGAUCAUUUUCAAAAUCGACACAAAUUAUUAAUUCUAGCCCACCGAAUAUAUGAUGUGUUCUUAAGAUGAAUUUGCCACUACAACAAAUAUAGCUUUUGUAACACAUAAAAGGCAACAUUCGUUAAUCGAAUGUUGCAAAAUGUGUCUACUACAACGUUAGAAUAUGUGAAUGCUGCUAUUAGUUAAAAUAAUUGAGAUUUGGCAACAUUUUUAAGCCGUUGUUGCUAAUGUCAGCUUUUUGCAAUGUUUAUUUAGUGUUGGGAAAAGUUUUAUUUUUCACAACAUUUAAUAUCUGUUGUUGAAGGUUCGACAUUUCGCAACGUUUUCAACGUUUAGAAAACGUUGCGAAAAGAUAACAUUUCACAACAGUAGACGAACAUUGCAAAAAGAUAAAUUUACAACAGAAUAGAAACGUUGCAAAAAGAGAACCUUUUCGCAAUGUCUACUAAGCGUUGCAAAAAUAUCUUUCACAACGUUUUGGAAAAACGUGGCGAAAGAUCAGCCCACAUGUAAUUGGAUCAUAAAAAAUAAAACUAUUUCAUGGCCCAUCGCGUGACCCAAUUCAAACUAUUUUAUGGCCCAUUACAAGACCCAAUUCAAUUACACCCCAAUGGAGACACACAAGACAGCAUAAUUCAGUUUUCUUGCACUUCUCAUCGCCUUCUUCUACCUGCAAACUCGUCCCUCUCACGAAUACUUUGCUGGAAAAUUGAUUUUGAUAUAUGAGUGUUUUAUGUUAAGCUUAAUAUGCUGACUUGAUGCUUCAAAAUUUGUAUAUCUUCAAGGUUCUUUUGGAUAAAGUGCAUGUGUGGUCAUUAGGAUUUGUUUAGAAGGUUUAUGUCAUAUUUCCAAGGAGCUCUGAUUGGUUUUAAACAGGACAUGAUUAAUCUCAUUUUCAUGUGCUAUCAAAAAGAUAUAUUGCUUAAUAUAAAAGCAGGUGAAUUAAUUUGCAUAUUUUACUAUACAAUAUUUAAAAAAUUUUAAAAAAUAUUGGUUAAUAUAAAAGCAGGUGAAUUAAUUAAAAAUAAGUUUAAAACUGUUGCUAAUUAAUUAGAGCAAUGACAAUAUUUGGAAAAAUGUUGCACAUAGGUUAAAGGCAACGUUGAAGAAAUGUUGCAAAAAAAGGUAAAUAACAACACUUAUAAAAUGUUGUGAAAAAACUGGUCGUAAGUUUCGGCAACAUUUUUAAAGUGUUGCGAAAUACUAUUUUCGCAACGUUGCAAAAAACUGUUUUCGCAAUACUUUAAAAACAUUGUGAAACAGAAGUUUCACAACGUUUUUUGAACGUUACGAAAUACUAUUUUCGCAACGUUCAGAAAACGUUGCCGUAUCCUUUCCCUCUUCAGCAACAUUUUCUGAACGUUGCAAAAAGCUUACUUCGUUGUAGUGUGCUCAAAGAACCAACUGCAAUUAGAUUUUGUAGGUGUAAGUACAUUGUAAUUCCUCUGAAGUUAGUUAGGAUUAGGAGAAAUUUUCUAAUAUUUUUGAACUAUAAAAUUUAGUGCUCUGUGUCAUUAUUCAACUAACAUUUAUAGAUGUAUUCAUAUCAGGUCUCAAUUAGAUAGUGAGUCUCAAAUAUUUAAUACACAUAUCGAUUAAAUUAACAAGUUUCACAUCACCAUUUACAUCUUUUUCAGAUUGAUGAGGUGGCAAUAAAUUGAAUUAAUCCUAUAAAAUCUCUUCACCACUUAAACAAUUGUGCUCAUGUAACGUUCAUUAAUGGUAAAAAGUGUAUUUUAUUUGUUCAAUCAAAUCUAGCCACACAAUUUGUUGAUAAACAAAUUUGUAAGUUGUGAUAUACGUACAACACAAUCGAUUAAAUUAAUAUGUGUAUCAAUUAAGCAGUAACAAAGUGCAUUGUGUACACCAUACUUCAAUAGUAUGAAAAAAGUUUACCAGAAAACUUACUUUUAAUACUCACACCCCAAUGUUGACUCAGAGAUGCCUUAUGGUACCAAGAUUCAAUUUAAGUUUCUCCUAAAAAAAAUGUUAUUAGCUCGAAUCCUAAGAUGAGAUAGAAAUUCGUAAGGAAUGAGAUGAUUUUAGACUCUUUCAUAGCGGACAAUACAUAAAUUAAUGAUUUGGGCACAGAGGUUAGGUCAUUACAGAUCAAUGACUAAGAUAUAAAUAAGUUCAUUGGCCUCAAAUGUGAGAAGUAAUGUGCUUUUGGGAUCUCCUUUUUUAAAUAACUGUUAAGCAAUAAGCUUGUGAUUAAAUGCUUGAAUUUGAUGGGAUCCGCUUGAUCCCAAGGAGCAUAUGAAGUAACUUAAUUCCAUUAACUUUAUAUUGCCCUACUAUUUAUGACUUGUAUUUGAUUUGUUUCAGUGCAGAUUUUCCAUAAAACUAUUGCAACAUACAGUUUCAAUAUCAGUAUCAUAGAAUAGACGUUACAAAAUAAACCAGCAAUACACUUGAUCAAACUAUGAAACUUAAGAGCGAAAUGAUAUUAAAGAAAGAAUAUAUUCGUGUUAUGUUUAAUAUGUUGAAUUGAACUGAAUCAAACAGGAUCAAAAAAGAUUUUCAUUCAAUAUCCUAUCUAGUACACGUGAAUUCAAUAGAAAACUUCUUCAUUAGUCUCUGCCCUGUGGACAAUACAAAAAUUCCUUUUUUUUUUAAAGGAAGAUAACACCAACAACAAUCAAAGAAGCAAAAUAGUGAGCAAUUGGAGUGAAAAGCAGUAACAUUCUUGAUGAAGACUUAGCAAAAGACUAAUAGACCUUCACUUCUUUGAUUUCCUUGUAGUGUCCUCUUGCAGAAAGUCAAGCAAAACAGUGCUCUUACAUUUUGGGCAUUUCGGGUCCUUUUCCAAUAGCAUAAUAUACAUGAGACAUCGAGGACAACCGACCAGCAUCAUCGCAGUCGAUUCAGGGCUUCGUAGAGUUUCAUCCGAGCUAACUUCCAGAGACAAACAUGAACUUGGAGAUGAUAUAUCUGAAGAAGAAAUUGAUCGAUUGGGAGAUUCAACAUGAAUAUAUGCCCUUGGUGGGGAUAAAUUCAGUUUCAAAUCAAGCUUUGGACCAUUGGCGUUGUAACUCAUUUUCUUGAAUACCACUGUAGACAAAACCAAAUGAAUCAGGAAUAUGACAAGAAUUUAGUUCAGUCAACAAGAAACUAUAUAAAUGAGGAAGAUAAUCAAUCAAACAGUAAAUCAAAGUCAAGAUUACAGUUAAGUAGGCAACUAUUUUCAACCAAACUUUGAAAUUUCGAGGCUGAGAUUCUAGAGGAAGUUUCUGAUGGCUCUUUCAAAACGUCAAGGGAAUAUAAAUACAGGAGGGAGGGUGAGAGAGAGAGAGAGAGAAGUAUGCAGUAAUCUAAUUGAAUUGAAGUUUAAAGAAGAGGAAAGUGGUAGUAGAUAAUUAUGUAUAUUCAUUGACAGUGAAGAAAUCAAAGAAAUUUGGUUGCAGUGCGCAAAUUAGAGUUAAUGUUUGCAACUAAAAUUGGCUAAUAUAGCUUCAUUCAUUGCUGAUAAUGUUGGUUUGCUUAUUACAUGCAAUAGGUGUAAUUAAAAUCCCAUCAAAAGGCCUAACUGCCAGCAGCAUCACAAUUUUUUCCAUUUAUGAACUCAUAAAAUAUUCAUCCUUUUAGAAAUAUACAUCUUUGUUGUGUACUUCCAUUCGUUGACCCCAUAAGCUAAGAAAAUUAUAUAACCUAGUCGACCAGACAAUAAACAUGAUUAUAGCUCGUUUUUCUUCUUAUAUGCUAUCUAGUCGACUUUAGCAAACAUGCAGAUAAUGGUCUCAUGGUUCGAUUAGAUAAACCUCAAAACCCGGACAUAGACAUUUAAAUAGUGUGUAUUCCUCCGUAUUGUACAUAUGUAGCUUGCACGAACUGUCCAACAUAAUGAGUAGAGUAGUACUAUUCAUACUAACUCACUACGACAGUCGUCCUACGUGUCAUACAUCCAUGUAGGACGACUAUCGUAGUGAUUGACUACGAAUAACAUUAUUCUUUUGAUUAACAUUGUUCAGUAGUUUAAACUGUGUUUACGAUCUUUAUUAUUAUUUGCUUUUGUACAUUUAGGCCAUGUUUGAUGGUCAUUAAUUGGCAAAAACAAAGAUUUUAAUAGUAAAAUUUUUUUGGAGAAUGUGGUUAAAAGUAAGAAAAAGUUUUGGGUUUACAUACAAAAUAUUUUAUUUUGUGAACAUGUGAUUGAAAAUGAGGGAAAAAAAAAAAAAAAGGAGUAGAGCUUUGAAAUAAAGGACAAUGGGGUGCUUAGUGUUGUUUAUGUACCAAAGUACAUAGCCGCCUUCUGGUAUUGUGUCAAGGAUGGACUUUGAUUAAGGCUGCGGACUACAUUGUAGGUUUGAGUUGCAAAAGUUGCCUCACGGCACUCAACAUGUCACGCUCUACGUAAAUUACAAAGCACGGAUAGGUGUGUCACAAAAGCUUGACAAGCAUGUUUAGAAUAAAAUUCAAAAUAGAAAAAGCUAAAAAUCUCGUACAUAUCAUAGUAGUUGAAAGUUGUCGAUAAAUGAAAUGAAACCCAAAGUAUUCGAAGUAACGUAAUAUUAAAACUGGAAGAGUUUAAACCAAAUGGUAGUUUUUCUCAUCAUUUUCCAUGGGGACAUUUUGUGAAGAAUAAGCUCUCGCAUCGUUUAAUCCAAAGAAUGACUCUUUUAUUUCUGGUGUUAGAAGGCUCCCGUUUCCAACAAUGGGAGCCGAACUCCCACAAGAAUGCCGUUACCUUGCUUUUUUCUUUUUACUCACAAUUUUCCCAGUUUUUCCUUGGAGAAAAGCUUUUGCCUAAUGUUACAAAUUAUGGGAGUACAUCUUUAACUACAACUUAAAAGCAUAGCCUCCAACACAACUUGUGCUAAUUAUAAUUUCAUCAUUUACUUCAGAUUUAUUAUCUAGCUCCAUAAUAUUUGUAGCUGGAUUAAUUAAAUGUGACUUAAUGAAGACCUAAUACGAGUAAAAUAAUAAAUGAGAUGGUAACUGCAAUAAAAUAGUAAGACGAAAUAAAAUAACGAGAUGGCGCUUUAUUAUUAAUACAUAUUUAUGCCUUGCCUAUGCUUGAGGUACUUAGUUCAACUAACGUUAUUAAUGCAAAAGCAUGAAAUUUCCUAGAUUGUGCUAUCACAUCAACAACUAUGUUGGCUGAAGUGAAGGGUCAAGAUUUGAUUUUGCAAAACCUUUUUUUGGAGGAGCAAUUAAUGCUAUUCAUUACUAUUGGUGUUAAGCACCAGUAUGAGUAGCAACGACACAUAAUUAAAUGAUAAAUUCACUUAAAUACAAUAUCACAUAAUUUAUUUAGUGCUUGUUUGGUAGGGACUUUAUUAAUUGAUUUUUUGACUGUUAAAGAUAAAGUGAAUCCUACUUGUGAGAGAAGAAUUCAAAAAUUACGGUUGUAAUAGUAAAAUAACGGUUAAAAAAUUGAUGUUAAUUGGAUUAAAAUCAUUACCAAACAUGCUUUUAAUUGAAUAUAUCAGGUAUGACAAUCUAGACUGGUGCUAGAUAACAUUUUUUUUUUUUUUUUUUUUUGGAGACACUAGUAUUAAACACUUGGGCAUAUACAAGAAGGAAGUCUAGUGUAACUUCCAAUAGCACUAGUUUUGUGGGUUCUGCUAGUAAAAUGAUUGAUGCAGGCAACGAAAGAGAGAAGAAAUUGAGAAUAGUUCAACAAAAAAGAAGAACCCGAGAUGUCACCCAGCUUGGGUGAUGAAAGCGUCGCUAAUCACUGAUGUCACUCAAGAUGACUAAGUCCACAAUUGAUUAAUUAAGAGAAAGAAAACUCCAAAAUAAGACUACUGGAGAAGUAAAUUUUUUCCUUCCCCAAAGCUGGUCCAUUUCUGCUGAUUUGCCCCCAAAAUAAAUCUAGAGACGUGACUCACAAUUGAUAUAUUAAUGAAGAAUAGACAUUUUUUGGAAUAUUACAUUAUUUUAGAUAUUUUGAUAAUAGUUCCAAGACAAAUCCAAAACAUAAUAUUUUUGAAACUUACACUAGACCUAUUGAGUAAUUACAAUCUAACCUAAUCAUGAACGUGUAUCAUUCUUCUCCACUUGAGAAGAAAUCUUAAUGCCCAAAGACAAGUCUUUUCAAAGUGCUUAGGAAAUCGUCUAGCUCUUGAACUAAAAUUAUGCAUCUUCAGAGUGCGAAUCUUUGUUGAAAUGAUCCAAAUACCAUAUUUAUAGAAUAUCGAUGCUUUCAAUAGUAGAAGUUGUAGGCACAUUGCGAUGAUAAAUGAAAAGCUAGAAGCAACAAAGAGGUUGAUACACCAUAUUCGUCCGUCAAUAACAAAUGAUUUCGAAACAACUGGAUCUUCAUAUUUUUUAAUUUUCAUUCAAAAACAUUUAAGUCGUCGAUCCAUGUGCAUUUACUGGAGGACAUUAUCUAAAAUAUCAUAAAAUAAAGUUGGCUUUCUGCAAUUGCCUUGUAAUAAAAUCAAUAUUUAUACAAAGCUAAGAUAAACAGGAGAAAUAGGUUGAUUAAACAUAACUUAACAGGGAAAUAUUUUCUGGAAAUUACUCAAACAUGCAAAACUUGGAAUUCGCAACUGUGAUGCCACCAUCCACAAAAAGGUUGUGUCCAUUCACAAACUUUGACUCAUCACUUGCCAAGAACAUAACAGCUUCAGCCACAUCCUCUGGCUUAAGAAAAACACCUUUGAGGAUGGAAUAUACACUACCAAAUCCCUCAUCGUCCAUUUUGUAGAAAUCCUUUGAUUGCCGUGUAGGAACUACGUGUGGUGACACGCAGUUUACUCGAAUGCCAUAUUUUCCAAGCUCCACAGCCAUAUUCUUUGUGAGUCCUACCACCCCAUGUUUUGAACUUACAUAAUUGUGUGAAGAACCACCGCCUAUUUUCGAACAAGUACUAGCUGUUGUGAUUAUGUUCCCACUGCGAUUUGGGAUCAUCACUCGAGCAGCGUGUUUAGCACCCAGGAAUGCACCUAUGAGGUUUACAUUAAUAAUCUUUUCGAACUCUGAUUUUUCGAUUUCAAGAAUGCUUGGAUUUGAUUUUCCCCCAAUCCCGGCAUUAUUGUGCAUUAUAUCUAAUUUCCCAAAUUUGGAAACAGUUGUGUUAACUGCAGUUUCUACAUCGGAUUCAUUAGUUAUAUCACAGUGGACAAAAGAGGCUGAUGAUUGUCCCAAUUCCUUGCAUACCUUCUCUCCCAAUUCAUCAUUGAUGUCUGCAAUCAUAACUUUAGCUCCAUGUUUGGCGAACAGUUUGGCGGUUGACUCGCCUAUUCCAUUAGCAGCACCGGUGAUUAGUGCUACCUUGCCUUGGAGCCUAGGUUCAAAUAUUUUGUUAGUAUAACAAAUUUAUAAUAGUCUACUGAAAACUUGUGUGACAAAAUUCCUCAAGAAUUAAAUAAUAGUUACAUUUCUUUCUUUCUGUUUUAUCAGAAAGCAGUGUAUAUGAACAUUUAAAGAGUUAUACCUUCUAACAAAAGUCGAAGCCAUUUGUGAACUUCCCACACUUGAACUUUUCUUGCUGUGAAAGUGAAUUUGUAAUUCUCUGCACUUUUAAAUGUAUUUAUAGUGCAAGGACUGUUAAUCAUGAAGAGGAUACAGACACAAAACAACUAUAUAUCUAAAUCAAUUUUCCAGCUAAGUGUGAUGUGUUUCCAAGUCGUUAUUUGUAGUUUUCUUAUCACUAAGUUUUGUCUUGUAGUUCGUUUUGGGCAAUGUCCCUAUCAUUGCCAACUUACUUGUCAAAAUCACUACAAUCUAAUGCAAUACAGCUAGUAUAUAAGAGCACAAUAAGCACUUGGUUUUAAUAGAUCAAGCUUUGAAGGAUCUAGGCAUGAAUUUUCAUUAUAGAGAAAUAACUUCUUCAAUUAGAUGAACCAAUAAAAAUUGAGUACAAUAAGCACUUGCUUUUUUGAUAAUUUAUUUUACUUUUUUGGAGCGGGUUCAUGUCACAAGCUCUUCCUGUUGUCCUGUUGCUAAUAUCGACGAUCACGUCACAAUUUGAAUGGAGGUUCCUCUCUUUUUUUUUUUUUUCCUUUUUUUUUUUUUUUUGGUAACCAUUUGUUAUAUUUUAUUGGUAGUUGUGUUGUUUUGUUCUUAUUUGUGCCAAACUCUCUUAAACUUUUAGUUGAACAUUAUUUUUGGUUUAUUAAUGCUUCAAUUUUCUAGUUAGGUUACUCAAUUUAUUAUUUAGCUUUAAACUUAGUUGCUAGAUAUUGUUGUUAAUUGCUAGAAUGAUUUGAUGAAUUACUUAAAUAUUAGUUGUGAAAAUUUGUUGAAUAAGCUUUUUAAUUGGUCACAAUAAUAUGACAGAAUUUCAAUUUUUCAAAGUUAGUCACUUUGUUAGCUCCCGUUACUAAAUUUAACAUCUCAAUCUAGUGAUGUCAAUGGAUCGAGCCGGCUUAACCUCACGAGCUCGUGGCUCGUUGAAGCUUGACUCGUUGAUUUUGGGCAAGCUCGGCUCUGCCCACGAGUUCGUCGCUCGUCCGAGCUCGUGAGUGACGAACUCGUGGGCUGAGCCGAGCUUUGGCUUGCGAGCUCGCCAUCUUUUUUUUUUUUUUAUAAAGAAAAACACAAAUAAUGUAAUGAAAAUACUUUUAAAAACAAUAAAAAGUGUUAAAAAAAUGCAAAUAAUUUAAUGAAGACACUUUUUUCUUUUUUAUUUCUAUCAUAUUGUAAUAUUUUUUAUAAAGUAUAAAAUAUUUAUAUAAUGAAGACGAAUUGUUUUUUGAAAUACAUUUACAAAAAAUACAUUUUUUUCGAUUUCUUUUUAAAGUAAAUAAAAUGUAAACCCUCCUCUUUUAUCCGGGCUUGGGAUCGGCUACAUCAAUUUUAAGUAGGUGGAGUUAAAAAUUGUACACAAACAACUUGUUGUAACGUGUACAAUUUUUAAAAGAAAUUAAUUUUAACGAUUAAAAAAUAAGAAAAUUUUGAUUAAUAUAAUUAAAUCAAAUAUCACUUACUUGACGACAUACAAUUUCAGCGUAUUUAUCUUAGAGUCGAAAAUGAGCGUUAUGUCAAUUUUUCAUGCACAUUAACACUUUCAAAACAUCUUUUUUUAGUCGGCUCUUGACAUCAAUCAAAACCCUUUUAUUUACACUAAAAGUAGACUCCGAAACAACAAUACUAACCGGAGGUGUCAGUAGAUAUUUCGCAAUUCUAGAAACAAUUAGCCAACGUCUUUCAUAUUUUCGCCAGAAUUCAAUUACUUCUUCUAAACUUUUUUUAAUUGUUCUGUCUGAUGGUAUAUUAUGAUUGAAGUAAUCAAUUAAUUCAACAGGUAUCACAUUUUAAGUUGCGACCAAUGUUUGAUGAGAUGCAAAUGUAGACGAGAUGACAUUAGAUGAACACAUUGCAGUUGCAUCAUAUCUAAAUGUAUUAAUGCCUUGAAAUAAAUUCAUUAUUUCGGCAUCAUCUUCUUCAAUUUUAGCCGAAAUAGUAGAUGCAGAGGAUACCCAACUAACAUUUGCACACAUUCUUUCCGCAUAUAAAUCUCAUAUUUCACAUAAUGUUUGCUCUAAAUUUUUAUAGGUGAUAGGUAUAUUAAGUAUUAAGGCUUUAUUGAUUUGAUUAAUUACGUAUGUAGUUCCCCAAAUAUUAUAUCGGAUGUCCAUUGCGCAUGCUAAAGAAAAUAAUAUAAGCAAUUCUUCCCAAUAUUUUCUAAACUUUAAUUUUAUAACAAUUAUAAUUUCACUAAAAGCAUGACAAUUCUUAUAUUUAUGGAAUGUUCUUGCAAUUAUAUAAAGGCGUUCAAACACCAUACAGCUUGUGGAUAAUAAAUGCCGGAUAAAAUUUUUGUGGUCUCAUAAAAAAACGUAAAAAAUCGUUUAACUUUCAAAGCUAAAAUCCAAUCUAAUUCAUUCAACGUACCAUCAUCAUCACUUCUAACGUGUCUAUUAUUAUAAAAAUCAGUUAUUAAAUGUUUGAAACAUUUACAUGACUUUAAUAGCAAGUAAGUAUAGCUCCAUCUAUGACCUACAUCGCUAACAAAUAUUUUAGCAAUCGUCAUCCCUAGUUCGGCACAAAAACCUUCAAAUGCUUGUUUUCUACUAGGAGAUAUCGUAAUAUAUACUAAUGCUUUCAUAACCUUUAAAGUUCAUCCUUUAUAUGUUUUAAGUUAUCUUGCACAAUUAAAUUUAAAAUAUGACAUACACAACGAAUAUGAAACAAAUACCCACCAAAAUCAGAUUGUAGUGUCCUACACAAUUUAUCGACGACUACCUUAUUAACACUAGCAUUAUCAAAAUCAAAAGAUCGAAUUUUAGUCUCGCAAUUAUAUUCUCUAACAAUAUUGAUAAUAGCAUUAUAUAUAUUACUAGUAUUGUGAGGAAACUCAAUAAUUCUAAAAACAAUAUUUUUUUUAUGUAUGCACCAAAAUGUGUCUAUAGUGUGCGGUUGCAGCUAUAUAUGCUCUUUUAUUAACCCCUUCCAUAUAUUAGAAAUUAAAGAUAUAGCACUCCCAUAUUGUUAUAAAUCCAUAAUGAAUCGUUGUUUUGAAUUAUUGAAAUAUUUUAUUGUAUUGGCACGAAAAGUAUUUCGACUUACCCCAACGUACUUUGGUUGCAAAUAUUCUUUCAUGAAUGAGACGAAGUGUUGGUUGUUUGCAAUAGUCAGAAGCAACUCAGUGGCGGCAACAAAUUUCACAAUUUCAGUCCGAGUAUUGUCCUCCGAAUACACCCAUGUGGAUAGGGGUGAAGUCGUAGAACCGGUGCCUGGACUGCUAAAUUGCAAUUGUGUUUGACCAGUUUGAAGAAGUCUAUGUCUGGCCGCACAUGCUUUGUAGUGGCAGUUGAGAUGGGUGGUACUAAUUCCUUUUUGCCAUGCCAAUCUUUUUUGGUAGUAUUUAUAUACUGCCUUAGAUUCUGCAAGGCCAUCGACGACUUUUUUCGUUGAAAUUAACUUAAAGUGAUCCCAAUAUUUUGCUUGUUUUUUGCCCUUUCGCUUUUUCCUUGCAUCUAGAAUGUUUUAUUUGACAUCUGCGUCCUUAUGUUCCGCUACGGGAACAUUAAUAUCACUCAAAUCAAUUGGAUUGUGGUUUUCAUGACCGUAAAUAUGAACAUCUUCAGGUAUGGGUACGUUAUUUAGACCGACAAAUUCAUUUGGAAAUUGACUUUGCGGCGUUCUAGGCGAUUUGCCAUGUGGACCACAUCCCGUAUCGAAUAAGCUCUCGACAAAUGAGCGUUGAUCCAUUUAUUUGAUUGUUUAUGAUAAAAUUCAAAUAUAAUAACUAGGAAAAUAUAAAUGUAGUGAGAAUUGAGAAUUGGAUGACUUGAAAUUGUAACUGAAUAAACUGUAAAAAAUGAAUCGAUAUUGUAUAUUUUGCAGCACAAAAGAGUAAAAACUUGAUAAUUGAUAUAAUAAAAGAGAGUUAAGAAAUGAGAAGUAGUGAUUGAGGAGAUAACUGAUAUGAAAAAAGGGGGGGAGGGUUAAGGGGUAUUUAUAAUAGAAGCAAAAAAAAAUUUUAAAAAAUAUUAGUGACCAAACGGUCACUAAAAAAGUGACCAAAACGGUCUCUUGUUUUGGUCACUAAAGUCACAAGCCACGAGCGGCUCGCCUUUGAGGCGAGCACCUCCCGACGAGGUCGGCUCGGCUCGCGCUCGAGCUCUUGAUUUUACGAGCCCAAGCCGCUCAUGAACCCUAUUUCGACGAGCCGAUACCUUUUGACAUCCCUAUCUCAAUCCUACAUGGAUGUCUUAAAAAGAAUAAUAUUACUUGUAUAUAAUAGUUUACAUAAAUGUGAGGUCAUAAAAUUGAGGGGGUAAUUUUAUAUUUUUUUUUAUUUGGUUGAAAAAAUUUUGAUCAAACCAUAUUUUAUCACAUUAUGUAUAUGUAAACCAUUAUGUACAUGUAGUGCAACGGUUGAAAAUAUAUCCUUGACUACUAUGAAUGGGAAGAUGACGUCAUAAGAAAGGAGGAAUACAACAUUCAAGCAUUCAAAACCAUGUGUUGGAAGGGAAAGUAAAGACAAAGGAAAUAUUGUUGCUACGAGCACUGAGAAUUCUGGUGUAGUGAAAUCGGUAACAGGUAUCAUAAAUGCCUCUAAAAGAAGGUUGAAGUUAAUCAUUUUACGGAAGAGCAAGACAAGAAGAAAAUUUGCAAAUCUUUGAAGAGGAAUCUGAUGGAGCAAUUGAUGAGAAAAGUUACAAGCCUGAUGGAAGCGGAACAAUAUUUUCAGGACUUUAUAUUUGUCAACAGGAAAGAAAUGUUGCUUGCUGAUUGAAAAUAUAAUGUUGAAACACAUGAUGGGGAAAAGUUAAAACUUGUGUGCUUAUCCUAAUCGUAAGGUUUUUGGUUUGAGAAAGAGGGGACAAUGAACUGAACAUUUUGAACCAGGUUCUGUAUUGGAAAGUAUAAAGAUGAGCUUCAAUUUAUGCUCUUCCUAUGGAUGUCCGCCUCUUCUAGGUAGACAAUAUGAUUGCAAUGUGCCUUCAGCUUGAAGCUACCAAAUAGAUUGUUGAUCGUCAUUUUUUUUUGUCGUGGGUUGACAGAAUAGUGAUUUCACAGCAAUAUCUACAACUUCNAACUUCUACUAUUGAAAGCAUUGAUAUUCUAGAUUUGAGGAGCAUUACGGCCAAUGGCAGAUCUAAGCGAUGGCUAGCUAGGGUGGCCGCCUUAGCUGUAUUGGUUGGAACCGUCGAAGAAUUUUUUUUUGUUAACAAUAGAUUAAAUUUUUAUAUUAUAUUACUUGUAACUCAUUUCAUUUUAAAACUUCUCUAGCAACUCAGUUGGUUAGAGCUUGCAUGUGCAUAUUUAAAGUCUUGGGUUUGAAUCACUUGCCAAUGAAUUUGUUUUGUUUUAUUUUUAUUCUAUAAUUUUUAUCAAAACUCAAUAAGGAGGGGGAUAAAAGGGAUUUGAACAUGUGACCAUUUGGAAGGGUUGUUCUAAACUUAAUCAUUACGGCAUUUCUUGAGUUGUGUCACUAAAUUUAACAAAAUAAUAUUUGUUAAGUUUUAAUGCAAAAACAAUUGCAAAGAUUUGAAUUUGCGCUCUUACUUGAAUUUAUACAAAACUUGGCACCAAUGUCAUUCGAUGAGUUAUUUUUAUAAUAGAACUAUAUAUGUUCAAUUUAAGCAAAGUAAUUGUUUUAUUUAAACUUUAGGCCUUGUUCAAUUCCCAUUUUUUUCUCUUCUUUUUAUUUACAUAUUUUUCAAUAAAAUAAUAUUAUACGCAAAUUCAAAAUAUUUCUUUAUUUUUAGCCAGCUUUUUCCAUCAAAUCAUUAUUUCAAAAUGCAUUUUUUUGCAAAAAAGAGGUAUAAAUUAACUAUUAAUAUUUUAUUACGACCGACGUAAAUGGUCAACAACUGCCCGUGCUGACUCAAACUUCUGAAUUCGUCCCUAAUUAUGGCAAGGUGUGAAACCUAUAGAUAUAGUAUUUGGUUCAUUUCAACGAAGAAUCACAUCCCGAAGAUGCAUGGAUGUUGGUUCAAGAGCUCAAGAAGAUUUCCGAAGCAUUCUGAAAAGAGUUGUCUUUGGGCAUUAAGAUUUCUUCUCAACUAGAGAAGAAUGAUACACGUUCAUGAUUAGGUGUGAAAUAAAUCAAUGAGUUUUGUGUAAGUUCCAAGAAUAUUACGUUUUGAAUUUGUCUUGGAAGUAUGCUCUAAAUAUCUAAAAUGAUAUAAUAUUCUGAAAAAUGUUUAUUCUUCAAUAUGUAAAUCGUGAGUCACGUCUCUAUCUUUAUUUGAGGGGUAAAUCAGCUGAAAUGGUCCAGAUUUGAGGAAGGAAAAAAUUACUUUUCCAGUAUCCUUGUUUGGAGUUCUCUCUCUUUUAAUUAAUCAAGUGUGUUGAGUCAUCUUGAGUGACUUCCGUGAUUAGCGACAGUUUCAUCACCCAGACAGAGUGACAUCUUGGGCUCUUCUUUGUUGUUCAAAUAUUCUCAAAUUUUUCUCUUUCAACUGAUGCUAUUGGAAAUUGCCUUAGUCUCCGUACUUGUAUAUGCCCAAGUGUUUAAUUGCAGUGCCUUUAAAAAAGAAUAAUAUUAUUUAGUAUUAGUGUUAGUAUCAUAUUCGAUAUGUUUAAUUGAAUGAAUUAAAUGAUAUUGUAUUUAAGUAAAUUUAUCAUUUAAUGUUAUGCAGUUGUCAUUUAAAAUUGCGCUUGGUGAUUAGCAUUACUCCACCAAAAAGGUUUUGCAAAAUCAAAUCUUGACCACUUCACUUCAGCCGACAUAGCUGUUGACCAUGUUCCAAAAAGAGCCUUUGCCUCGUAACAAUGAUAAAACAACUACCAUUUAGUAAAGGACAUUAUCUAAAAUAUCAGAAAACAAAGUUGACUUUCUGCAAUCGCAUUGUAAUAAAAUCAAUAUUUAUAUAAAGUUAAGAUAAACAGUAGAAAUAGGUUGAUCAAAACAUUGUAACAUAACAGAAAUACAUAUCUAGGAAAUAUUUUCUGGAGAUUACUCAAACAUGCAAAACUUGGAAUUCGCAACUGUGAUGCCACCAUCCACAAAAAGGUUGUGUCCAUUCACAAACUUUGACUCAUCGCUUGCCAAGAACAUAACAGCUUCAGCCACAUCUUCUGGCUUAAGAAAAACACCUUUGAGAAUGGAAUAUACACUACCAAAUCCUUCAUCAUCCAUUUUGUAGAAAUCCUUUGAUUGCCGUGUAGGAACUACGUGCGGUGACACGCAGUUUACUCGAAUGCCAUAUUUUCCAAGCUCCACAGCCAUAUUCUUUGUGAGUCCUACCACCCCAUGUUUUGAACUUACAUAAUUGUGUGAAGAACCACCGCCUAUUUUCGAACAAGUACUAGCUGUUGUGAUUAUGUUCCCACUGCGAUUUGGGAUCAUCACUCGAGCAGCGUGUUUAGCACCCAGGAAUGCACCUAUGAG